RNAcentral lists this long non-coding RNA (50136 nucleotides) under Gossypium barbadense (sea-island cotton). RNAcentral's name for it is "long non-coding RNA (GBAR_LNC014663)". The record is from RNAcentral. Lineage: Eukaryota; Viridiplantae; Streptophyta; Magnoliopsida; Malvales; Malvaceae.
GGUGAAAGAGUUACGUAAUAAGUGAGUUCCGUUAGUGAAAGUGCUAUGGCGUAGUCAUAGUGUUGAGAAAGACACUUGGGAACCAGAAGAGACAAUGAGAUCUCAGUACCCCCACCUCUUUUGAAGUAAAUUUCGAGGAUGAAAUUUAAUUAGGGGGAGAAUUGUAACGAUCUGAUAGUCAGGGAUGUCAAAAAUUGCAUUCCCAAGGCUCUGUCCCUGUAAAUCAGACUCGUAAAUAUUAAUAAAUAUUUACGAAGCUAGUUGUGUAGUUAAUUAGGUUUCGAUUAAGUGAAUUUACAUGAGUUAGAAGUAAUUAGGUAUAAGGACUAAAUUGCAUAUAGGGUGAAAGUUGAAUUAUAGAUUAAAGAAUAAUUAAAGAGACUAAAUAAGUAAUUUUACCAUUGUUCUUUAAGUGGGACGGUUAGUGAUAUAUAUUAUAUGUAAAUUUAUUUUAUAUAUUAUAUUAUAAUAUGAAAUCUUAAUUGUUAAGUAUAUAUAUUAUAUAAUUAGAAUGAAACAAAUAAGUAAAAGAAAAAGUAAUAAAAGACUUAAAAAUUAGAAAGAAAGAAAGAGAGAAGGAAGAAACGCAUAGCCAAGGGCUCUAAAUUUUCAAAGUUUAAUUGGUUAGUCAAUUUAGUCCCUUUUUCUUGUAAUUUGUAUGUUUUUGGAAUCCCGAUACCUAAGGUUAACUGACCCAUGUUGAAAUUUUAACAUUGAUUGAGUUUUUAAAGUUUGUUAAUGUUGAUAAAUUUUAGUAUUAGGGGUUAAAUUGAUAGAUUCUUAAGCUAAAAAUGAAAAAGGAUUAAAUUGUAGAAUAAAUUAUAAAUUUUGAAUAAUAGGGACUAAAUUGUGAAAAAUUCAAAAUUUAAGGGUUUAAGUGAAAAUAGAGAGUUAAAUUUAGUUUAAAGUGGAAUUUGUAUGAAAAUAUAGAAUUAAAUGUGAAGAAUAAAAAUCAGUCUCGAUUUAGGGACUAAAUUGAAAUUUAGGCAAAUAUUGAGUAAAAAUUUAAAUAUUCAAUAUGAAAUUGAAUUGUGUUGCAUUAAUGAAUUUUAAUUGUUUUAAUUUCGUAGCUAACGUUGUAUCGAAAUCCUCGACUAAAAAGGGGAAAGAUAAAAUGACAUGGAAUAGCUCGGAAUUCACGGUUUGUAUUUCUAUAAUCCGAACCUAGUUACUAAUUGUUGUAUUUUGAUUUAAUGCAUAUGGUAAGUGGUUGAGGUGAGUAUUUGGCGCUUUAAUAUUGAAUUGAAUUAAAGUUGAUUGAAAUGGAUUGAAUUGGUAUAUAUAUUAUGAAUGUAUGGAUUAUUUGAAUUGGAAUGAAUAUUCAUGUGUAUAUGUGAUUAUAUGAAAUUUUUAUAUUGGAUAUUGGUUGUUUUUGAAAUGUGAAAUUAAACCCUAUUAAUUGUAUCAGGCUGAGUCAAAUAUAGAUGGCAUGACAUAGGAUGGGAAGAGUCUAGGGAAUUCUUCAACUUCGAGUUGAUGAGGCACUAGAUGCCAAUUUACUUCGAUUUAACCGAUGAGACACUGGGUGUCAAAUUUAUAUAGCGCUGGGCGCAUAUUACUUUAGAUUAUCCGAUGAGGCACUGGGUGCCAAAUUGGUGUGUUGGUUGGAUCCGUGUAUCCGUCUAAAUUUGAGUCGUGUUAAUAGGGGUAAUUAAAUAAUACGGUACUAUGAUUGAUAUUGGAUGAUAUUGUAUGUGAAUUGAAAAUGGGAUAGUGAUUUGAAACAUGAAAAUGAGAUACAUGAGUUAUGUACUCAUGAAUUGGAUAUGGAAUGGAUAAAGUUAUUGUUUAAAUGAUAUGUGGAUCAAAUUGUGAAAAGCUAUUAUAUAGCAAGUGAUGAGAAUUGAGUAUGGUAUGAAAUGAUGUAUUCAUGAGUUGAGUAUUGAAUGGCUAAUGCCAUUGUGAUGAGAAUUGAGUAUGGUAUGAAAUGAUGUAUUCAUGAGUUGAGUAUUGAAUGGCUAAUGCCAUUGUACAAACAAAUGUGGUUUGAUAUGUGAAUAACUAUUUAUAUAACAAUUGUGUGAAUUGAGACAUUGUUUAACAAAUGAAAUAUGAUAGUAUAUGAUAGUCAUGAUACUAGACAUUAAUAUGUGCUUAUAAUUUAAUUGUGGAUAUGAUAUUAUCUUGUCUUUAAUAUUCGGAUUAUAGAAAUACCACUGAGUUUUACUCAGCGUACGGUUUUAUUUUUCAUGCGCAAGUUAGGUACUUAACUUUUGAUCGCCGAUUCAACAUCCAACAACGAUCCCGAACUCAAAUGUUCUAAUGUUUAUCUUUUGUGUCAGCAUAUACGUAGGAUGUCUAAAUGAUAAUUAUUUUGUGAAUGGAUUGUAAAUAAGGUUGUAAGUGUAAUGUUGGUUUGGUAUAUACAUAUAAACAUGUGUUUGUGUUUGAAGCCAUAUUAUGGCAUGGUAAAUUGAACCAAAUCUAAAUAGAUGCAUGUGAAUUUAAGUUGAUGUUUAAGUACUCAUGAACUAGGCAAAAUGGAUUGAAUUUGGUAUGUUUAUAAUUUGGAUUUGAGUGAUGCUUUGAUGAUAUGAAUUGAGGAUAUAAAUGUGGUACCAAUGAAGGUACAUUGGUUAGGCAUCUAUGAUGAUUGUUUUGACAUGUUUUGGCAGUAUCUGAUCAUUUUUUGAACUAGUUAAACGGAUGUUUUUUGAAUUGUUUAAUGUCCAAGCUUGCAGGGAAUGGUAAAUUAUUGUUUAAGGCACCUUUGAGGUCCACACGGCUAGACAUACGGGCGUGUGACUUGGCCGUGUGAGACACACAGCUAGCACACGAGCAUGUGAGGCCAUUUCAAAGGGUACACGACCUGGCACACGGGCGUACAAGUCAGAGAGUUACACAGGCACAAACACAGGCUAGGACACGACCAUGUGUCCCUGAUUCGAAUGCCCACACUGUUAGACACAUGGGCGUGUGACUUGGCCGUGUGAACCUUGUAGCUAAAAUUUUUUCCAACUUUUUCUAAAAAUUUUCAAAUGUUCCCGAUUUAGUCUAAAAUCGUUUCUAAACUGUUUUCAAACCCUCAAAGACUUAAUAUGGGAUUCUAUGCAUGUUAAUGAUGAAUUAUUUUAUGAUUUUUGAAAUGUCUGAAAUGAAUGAUAGAUUACGAUUCGGUAAUGUCCUGAAAUCCUAUCCUGACGACGGAUACGGGUUGGGAGUGCUAUAGUUCAAACCCCAUAAAAUAAUCAUUAAUGGGAGUAAUAAAGUGUGUAAAUCCGACAAUAUGUAUAUUUUACUCUCUCUUUUUAAAAUUAAAAAGAUUAAAGUACCAUAAAAAAAUAUAACUUAUUUUAUAUACAAAAAAUCAUUUUUAUAAUUUCCUAAUGAAUUAAUACCUGAUUAACUAAUAACAUUAACCUGCUGCUUUUUCUUAUUUCUUUGUAUUUCUAUAAUAAUAAUAACAAUAAUAAAGUUAACAAGUCACAUCUUAUGUUAAAUAUUAUAAAAUCAUUUUAUCCAAAUAAAAAUGGGUUAACAACUUAACAUCUUUUGUGCCUGGGCUCUUUCUUAAUAUAUACUUUUUGUUUAUUUAUUCUAUAUCUUAAACUCCUGAUUUAAUUUAUACUACGUGUUAAUUGGACAUUAAUUUGGGUAAAAAAAUUUAUAAAAAUAUUAUUUUUCUAUUACGAAAAGAGUAUUUUUGAGGUCUUUAUACUCAUUAUGCCUAGCAUUGAAUAUACCGGGUAUUCACCCUAUUAAAAUUUCAAAUCAAUGAUGGAGUUGAUUCGGAUCUUGCCUAAACGGCACCCAAAUCGAACCGAACCAUUUAUCAAGCUAUUUUUCCUUCAAAGUUAUAGAGUAAGACAUCAAUUUCUUAAAAAGAUCAAUUCUUUUGAUUGCAUGAUAGACUUCCCUGAAAAACAUUGGCGCACGUGUAAACGAGAUGCUCUACCAACUCAGCUAUAACCCUUGUGUUUGUGAUACAUAUUUUAUCAUAUUAUGUAGAUAAUUUAUUGUCAAGAUGAAUAUUACAUGAUCCAACAUCAUAAUCAUACCCUUUUGGUCGGUUUGAUUGGUAUAAAACAAGUUAUAUUAUUUAAAGGUACUUUAGUCUUCUUAAUUAAAAAAACAAUAAAAAAAUAUUGUUAUGAUUGCAUCAGUAAAACCUUUAAAUUAUCACUCAAUCACAACUUUAUUUUAUUUUUUAUACAUUUUAAUUUUAUUAUGCAAACUUUAUUACCUCUAUCAAUUAUAUAUUUAUACUAUUAUUUAAACUCACCUCUAUAUUUUAAAUACGUGAUUUCUGCAUGCAUACAUGUAUGAUAAAAUUUUAAUAUAUAUAAAGUAACUUUUAACUUAAAUUGAAAAAGAAAUCAUUGCUAGUUUUGACAAUUUUAAUAAAAAUGAAAGCUUUAAAUUUUUAAUAUUUAAAUUUCAUUUGUGUGUUUUCGGUCUCACUUUCUGGUUUCUCUCCCGUUUAUCUGACAUGUAUAUUUUAUUAUACUGUUUUUUAAGUCUCCAUUGUAUAAAAAAAUAAAAUUACUUUUACCAAUUUUUUAAGGUCAAUGUAUUAUUAUUGGUAAUUAAUCUUAUGUUUGUAAAAAUGAAUAAGGUCAAUAUAUUAUUAUUCCCACAUAUAUUUGUAUUUUUAAUAAAAUUUUGAAUUUUUUUUAAAUCACUAACAAUAAAUAACAAUAUAUGAUAAUUUUUAUCUUAUUUAUUUAAUUUUAUACAUGAAAUUUUUAAUCAAUUCGGAUGUGACCUCGUUAAAUCUCAAUAAGACUAGUUUCCAAUUAUGAUUUGAGAAAACUAUAAUCCUUUUAACUAAGAAUUAUAUUUAUAAAGAAAAGCAACCCAUUUUUGUAUUUCUCCUAAAUUAGGAAUAUACAUAAAACCAAACUAUCCGAAAAAAAAAAGAAAAAGAAAAAGAAAAAAGCUAAACCCCCCAAUAUAGUAAACUACAUAUAACCAAGGGGAAAAUUGUACCACUAAAAUGUAGGUCCAAAACAUCAUUGAGCUACUAAUUGGACACACCUUUGGUCCUUAAGCAAUUCAACAACCUUUCUCAUUGAAGGUCUAUUAAUAGGAAAUGCUGAUGUACACUUAAGUGCCACAUUCAAAACCCUUUCAAUUUCCUUCAUUUCAUAUGUUGAUGGCUUCAUCCUUGGAUCAACAAUCUCAGCUACUUUUUUGCCGAAAUACCCUCCGCUGUCGUUGCCGCCUUGGGCAGAUGCCGAUGGUGGCAGUGAUGAUAGAACAACCUCGGUGACCCACUUCACUAAAUCCUUGUUCUCGCCGAAUGAAGAGUCGUUAGGACGUUUGCCGGUGAUUAGUUCUAGCAAGACAACUCCGAAACUAUAUACGUCACUCUUUUCCGUCACCUUUAGUGUGUAACCAUAUUCUGCAAAGGGAUAGUAAACACGGUUAAGAUAACGGUCCAUCAUAGAACGCGGAACCGUUAUCAUUAUUAGUUGUUGUUGAUAAAGUGAUGAAAUGGAUUCUUUUUACUGUUACUUGAUCAUAUUAUUAACGACUACGUGGAAUUCUAGACAAUAAUUUUUAACUAAUAAUAAAUGUUCUAACCUGGGGCAAUAUAUCCAUGGGUUCCGGCAAUGCGAGACAUAGCUCCGCCGUUAGAACCGUCGUCCCCGGCUUCAAUUUGCAACGUUUUAGCCAACCCAAAAUCCGCCACGCGUGGCCGCAUCUCCUCAUCUAGCAAUAUGUUGUUACUCUUCACAUCACGGUGAACUAUAGGAGGCAGACAAUCAUGGUGCAAAUAAGCCAGCCCCUGAGCGGCGCCGACCGCAAUCGCGAACCGCUUCGGCCAAUCUGCUAAACCACCCCACUUGUCGCCAUGUAACACAUCGCCUAAGCUACCGUUUUCCAUGCACUCGUAAACUAAAACCCUGAACUCAUCCCCACUACAACACAUCAAUAGUUUCACGAUGUUGCCGUGUCGGAUCCGACCUAACGUCUCGGUUUCAGACCUGAAAACCUCUUCUGCCUCACGUUUAACACCCCAUAGCCUCUUAACCGCCACGGUUUGACCUGUUUUGAGUUUCACUUUAUAAACCCGACCCGACCCGCCUGUUCCAAUGAUACAAUCGUCUUUCAUGAACGGGAAUAUCUCAUCUUCGUUGAACUCAACCCGUUGAAACAAGGUGACUUUGUACGGCCGUCGGGUUUUGCUACCAAAUUUGGAUCGCGUUCUGAAAAACCAAAUGACCGACCCGAUAAGUAGUAUAAGGCAGACUGUUAAAAUACCCACAACGUAGAAGGUACCAGGUUUGAUUCUUGGGCAUGGAGGAAGCGGGUUCAAAUUCGGGCUACAAAGAUCAGGAUUACCUAAUAGACCCGAAAUGAAGAACUCAUUAUUGAAACCCGAUGGUACUUUACCGUUCAACAAAUUACCCGAAAGGUUAAACCGGUUCAACCUCAGCUUCGUUAAAUCUUCUGGAAUUUUACCGAUCAGUAAAUUACCGGACAAAUCGAGGUAAAUUAAUGCCGGUAGGUUACCGAGGGUAGGUGGGAUUUCGCCGGUGAAUCUAUUUCUGGCAAGGUUCAACUCAGUCAACUCAGUCCAUGAACCCACUGAACCUGGUAGAUUCCCUGUUAACUCAUUAUCUUCUAACUCAAGCGUUUGUAACUUCAAAUCAGUGAUACAUAACGGCAGUCCACCGGAAAAUCGAUUUUGGCUCAGAUUAAUUUGUGUCAAAUUAUGUAAUUUACACAUACCUUCUGGAAUGUCGCCAGAGAAAUUAUUACCGGAAAUUCGAAGAAUUGUUAGCUUUUGAAGUGCUGAGAUUGAAGGAGAAAUUGAACCCUCGAAAUGAUUGUUUUGUAAUUCAAAAAGCUGCAUUAAAGGCAGACCCCAGAAUUUUUCCGGCACGUUACCGGAAAAUGCGUUAUCACCCAUUCGAAUAUAAUUCAAGGACUCACAUUCGCCGUAGGAUUCCGGUAUGCUCCCCGAGAACCGAUUCGUAAAAAUGACUAUGCGCUGAAGCUUCCUUUUGUGACAAAGAAACGGCGGUAACUCGCCGGAGAAAUAAUUAGUCGAAACAUCGAAGUCUUCUAAAGGAGAAAACUUACCGAGGUCGGACGGUAACUUUCCGGUGAAGCUGUUGUUGAAGAGCUUUAGCUGUGAGAGAUAUUGAUUCGAAGCUAAAACUUCAGGGAUUUCACCGGUGAAAAAGUUGUCAUUGAGAUUCAAAGACUCGAGAGGCAUUGCAGCGAUUUUCUCCGGUAAUUUUCCGGUGAGGCUGUUCUGUGAGACAUCGAGUCGAAGUAGACUUGUCAACUCAGCUAAACUCUCAGGUAACUCACCGGUUAACUGGUUUUGAUAAAGCUCGAUUUGCUCCAGUUUCUUUAACUUCGAUAAGCUUUCUGGGAUUUUACCAAUCAGGAAAUUACAUGUUAAAUCCAGACUCUUUAACGAAAUGAGAUUCCCAAUCGAAAACGGAAUUUCGCCGACGAGAUUCGCGUUCGUCAACCAUAAAUAUUCGAGCUUCGACAAGUUUCCGAUCUCGUCCGGCAAUGGACUCGGUUUGAAAGGAUUGUACCCGAGUGCGAAGUCAGUUAACUCAGUAAGAUUACCCAGAAAAGAAGGUACCUUUCCGUUGAGUAGGUUCCCACCAAGUGAAAGAACUUUGAGAGAUUUCAUCCGUCCGAAACUCACUGGAAUAUCGCCGGUGAAAUUAUUGUUAGAAAGCUCAAGAACUUCCAAAUGCUCCGACGAGAAAUCCGGUAACUCGCCGACGAAUAUGUUACCCGAAAGAUCAAUCUUCCGUAGACGAAAACACGGAGAAAUAGCCUGAGAAGACAGUGAACCGUUGAGGUUAUUAUCGGCGAGAUAAAGAGUUCGAAGGGUCCGAAUCCGACAAAACUCAAACGGAAACCCACCAGAGAUUCCAAACCCAGAAAGAUCAAUCGAAGCAACAGUACGGUUACGAGAUUCACACCAAACACCGGUCCAAUUACACGGACUUUGAUCAGGCGUCAAAAUAACCCAAUCGCGUAACCGUCCAUUCGGAUCAUCAAGCUGAGAAUCCUUGACGCGAAUCAGUAUUUGCGAAUCUCCAUUGAAAGAAACCACGAAAGUGAAAACACAAACAACCCAAAAAAGGAAACAAAUCAAAGCUUUCAAAUCUGGGUUUCUCAUUUUCAAUCCAAAAACAAGAACACCACUCGAAAAAUCAUGGCUUUUUUGCUUUUGGGGGGGUGGUUUUGUUUUUAAGUGAAAAAACAGUGACGGUUACUGCAUGAAGACGAUGAAGAUUAAAGAUUUAAACUUUAUUUUUUUUCAAGUUCACAUGAAAAAAGCGAUUCAAAAAUGGAAUCUUCUACUACUUUUUUCCACUGUUUAUUUUAUAAUUAUGGGGUGUGUCGCCAAAUGACAUCGAAUUGCAGCAUUGGAAUCGAAGUGAAUUUGUGGUUUACAGUGGUGGGGGGGGGGAGGUAACUUAGAAAACGUGAUUUGGUGUUUCGUUUAGGCAGUUUAUUAAGGAAAGAGGAAGUGACAAAAAGCAGAUGCUUUUAUUGGGUUUGCCAAAACAGAGAAUUGAUGCAAGAUUAAUGUGAUUUAUUAUCAUAAUUUUCCUUUUCUUGGAUUUUGAAAACUGACUUUCAAAUAUGAAAAUUUUGUUGUAUUAGAUUUAAUUUGAGAGCAACGGGGGUGUUUGAAAAUGAAAGUUAAAAAGGGAAAACUAGGAGUAAGAUUAUGUAUUAGAUUUAGGGUGGGUUUGGAUGGGUAAUUGGGCGUGAUGUUGUGCAUUUAGUUUAUUUUUUGUCUCACGCUACUGUAUUGCUACAAUAUCUAAUCACACUGCCACCACUAUUUUUAUAUUAUCCACAUAUAAACGUACCUCCAUCUAAACUCACCCUUAAUUUUCCUUUUUUUUUGUUGAUUUUUAUUAUUGAAAACUAGCGGAAUAGUUAAAUAGUUAUAUUUAGUGUCAUGUGUAUUUUUAUAUUGACAUAUAAAAAAUAAUUUUUAACAUUAAAAAAUGAGUAUAAAUUUUAACAAAAUGAUAAAUUUGUUUUCUAAUAUAUAAUAAUAAUAAUAAGAGAAAAUAACAGAUUAGAUAAAGACCACCCAUUGAAAAUUAUGUCAGCAUUAUCAGUCUACAAUAUUUAAACAAUUGCCUCUCAAGGAUAAUGAAAGAAUUGUAAAAAUGUAAUUUCAUCAUUUUAAUAGUCCAUUUCUUUAUAAUUUUUAAAAGAUUAAAUCAAAUUUUUAUUUUUUUAGGGGGUCAAAGUAUAAUUUUACCUUUAGUGAUUUAAAUUUUAAAAAAAUUUAAAGGCCUAAAUGGAAACUUUUUCAUUUGGGAGGAUGAGAGCUCCUGUCAACCCUCUUAGUUUUGCCCCUGAAAUACUAAGUCUCUUAAUCUUGCUAGGUUCGUCAUCACAUCAGUAGCAGGGGUAAAGUCAGAAAAAAAAUUUAGAGGGUCAGAAUUAAGUUGUAUAUUUUUUCGAUAUUAAAAAAUACAAUUUUACAAUUUUAAUAGCAUAUAUCUUUAUAGUUUUGAAGGAUUAAAUUAAAAUUUUAUUAUUUUUGGGAGGCAAAGUAUAAAUUUACCAUUAUUAAAUUAAAAAUUUAUAAAUUACAAAUUAGUUAAAACUAAAAAAAAAAUCAUUUUAGGGGAUUAGUGCCCCUUAUAACCCCCUAGCUCUACCCUUAGUUACAUGGUUUACCUUCUCUACAUAUAUACACAACUUCCACUUAUCAAGGUCGUUUUGGUCUAAUGUAUAAAUAUUUAUUUAUUUAUUUUUUAAAUAAAGUAAAUAAAAUAUAAUUCAAUUCAUAAUACAAGUGUCACCAUAAUAUUUUUACAAAAAUGAAAUUGCUUUAAAAUUUGAUUAUUGGUUAUGAAUUUUUUUUAAUUUUAUAAACCGAAUGAAAAUAUUAUGAGGUGUGCUUUUUAAAAUAUUAAUUAAAAUUAUAUUUUUAUUAAAUUAAUUAAAAAAAAGGGAGUAUGAAAUUUCGUUUUAAUUAGAUAAUUGGAGGUGCCAAAUAUCAUAGGCAAAUUGAAGAAUAAUUAAGGGAAUUUGGAAGGGUUUGGUUUCAGUCAAUUCAUUCAUGUGCAUUGUAAGAUAGCCUAAAAUUGGUAAAAAGGAAGGGUUUUAAUUAAAAUAGUAUAGUAGAUUCUUUCCUCUAAAAAAAUAAGAUCAUGCAUUAUCCAUUUUAUAAAAUUUUAUUACUUAAAUAAUUCUUCAAUCAAAAUGUUAUAUCAGUUUAAGGAUAUGUAUUGAAUUAAUUGAUUUACAAAUCGAUAUAGACUUAUUGAAUCGAGUUAAAAAAUGGGUUGAAUCAGUUUUCUCUCUUUUUUUAAUAAUAAUUUAUUGGUUUAAUAUUAAUUUAAUUAUAAGUUUUUAUCAUAUCUGUUUUUUAUACAAUGCUUAACUAUCUGUAACCCCUCCCCAACCCUUAAAUAGGAGGAUAAUACGUUUUAAUACACUAGAACCAAUAUCCUCUUACAUUUACAAUAAUAUUAAUACCAAUCGAACUAUUUUAAAAUCACGAUACGACAGGGGAAAAAAGCUAAUAUAGUGGGAGGGACUAGGGAGAAGUUUUUUUUUAUUUUGCAGUGUUCCAAUGUAGGGGCAUUAAACACGAUUAGAAUGUGAUUUGUGGUCAAAUUGGACCUUGAAAUGUGAACUUUGAGGAUGAAAAUAAAGUAAUUAAAAAGAUAGAGCAUCCCCCGGGCUCUUCGUCGCCGUGAUGACUCGGUUGUUUCGAUACCCGAGGUCGAGACCCUGUCUUAAUUACCCAAAUUAGGAGUGCCUUGAAACCACAACAUUAUUCAUUCGUGCCUAUAUUUAUUAUUAUUUAAUUCACAUUUGAGUUUGGUUUAAUCCUAGAAAAUAAUAUAUUAAUUAUAUAUGAGUUAAAUAUUUAUAUUGUUAUAUAAAAUAUGUCGAUUAGGUCUUAAUUUAAUUGAUAUCUAUAUUGUUAUCAGUGUAAAAUGAUAUGAGUGUACGUGUUUUUAUUUAAGGAUUAAAGAGAGACUAUAAAUAAUUUUAAAAAUUAUAUAAGAAAAUAUAUAUGAUAAAAAUUUAUAACAAGAUUCAUAGUAAAAAAAUUUAAUUUUAUACUUAUAAUAAGUAUAGAUAAUGUUUUUUUUUUUGAACUCUCACGUACAAAAGUCACAUUUUUCUCUCGUGACUCACACACACAAAUAUAUAUUUAUAGAUCCGAAGGCAAAAACUUGGUUGAGCUAACACAUCUGGUUCUCAAUUAUAAUAAUCUAUAAAGAAAAAGAAACAAAAGUUAAUGAUGUUGGUUAUAAGUGCUUUAAUCCAUGGUAAGUAGAGAUUAUGUCAACAUCAACUAGUGAUUAACAGAGAUAUCUCCAGCUUUAUUUAGAUUUGCUUUUAUUAAUUAAUUAUUAGUUAACAAAUUCAAAACUCACUUUGGGUGUCAACCUACCAUAAGACUUGAGAAUUCCAAAAAAAACAAAAUUAAAAUUAACAGCUUGGAUUUUUGAUAUUCAUGAGUUGGGUUGAACUAAAUUAAAAUCUAAAUUUAAAAAUAUUUUUAAGCAAAAGCCGAUUUUUAGGGUUGACGUAUUUAGGUAAGCUCGAUCUGCUCAAAAAUUUUAUUUUACUACUUAAAAAUAAUAAACUAUGGUUUUAAUUGAUAUUUUAUAUAAUUUUAUAGUUAAUUUUAAAUUGAAUUUAGGACCAGACGAAACCGAUAUGAGAAAUUUUGUAUUCAAAAUUGACCUUAGUUGAAUCAAAUUUACCGAAUUGAGCCAAGUACCCUACGUUUGAACAGGUCUAUUAGCAAGAGUAAGUCAAAAAGUCUAUGGGUCUAGUGGGGUAUUUCUUUUAUGCAUCUUUUUCAACAUUCCAUUGGCUGUAAUGGCAGCCGCUGUUGACUGCUUUAGAAGAACUGUAGGGUUACCUGAACCCCCAAAAUUCUAGAACACUGGGUAGACACAAUUGAAAGAUUAUUGGACUGGUAGAUUUAUUUUGGGUUAAAUCAAGUUUUAAGAUUUUUUAAUAUUUUUAUUUAUGUAAUUUGAGAUUAUUUUGGGUUUGAUCAAUUCAAGCUCGUAUUAUUUUAAGUAAUUUAUUCGAAUCAUUUCAAAUUAAAAUAUUAAAUUGUGAAGAACUCAAGUUUGAAUAAGAAUUAAGUUGAAAAUCAAGUACCCAAGCCUUUAAAUAAAUCUAUUUAGCCAUUCGUCCUGGUGGGUGCUGUUCUAACUUGCUUGGGGGGAUAGAUAAAAGUAAUGUCAACUGGGGUUUCUAAGUUUGGAUUAUUGAUAGUUGCUUCACUUAGAAGAUGAUGAAUGAGGAAGCCAAUCCUUUCUACUAAGUAAUUGGGCAAAUAUUAAACUUGAACUUCAAGCUAAGCUUAUAUAUAUAUAUAUAUAUAUGAUCUUUUCCAUAUUUUAAGGCAGUGCAUCUUCCACUUUGAUAAUAUGAAUGCCAUUUUUUAAAGUGAUGAACAUAAAGCCAAAACAGGUCACAAUCCUUCACAGUCUAAUAUAUUAGAGAAUUUUCUUCAUUUUUUUCAAUACAACGAAUAAAAAUGCAAUUUAUCAUACUCUUAAUUUCGAUGACAAGGACUCAAAUUUUGGAAAUUAUUUCUUUUUAAAAAAAAUUUAGAUGUUAUUUAUUUUUACCAUAUUUAAGUUUAUGAUUGAAAUAGUGUCGUCAGUUAACUUGUUUUUAAUUUAGUUGAGAAAUGAUUAAAAUAAUAAAGAUGUAAUGAUAAAUUAACUCCUAAAGUUUAUUCCUUUUAUUACUUUGGUCUUAAUUCUUCUUUUUUAUGGGAGGGGGGGACUACACUAGUAUUCCUUAACGUUCAAAUUUUGGUCAAAUUAUUUCUGUUUUUUGAAUUGUUAAAAUUUUAACAGCAUUGAUGUGUAUGUGUACUCCAUUCUUGAUGUGGAUUUUUUUAAAGAAAAAAUUAAAUAUUUUUUAUGUAUUUUUUAAUUUUUAUAAAGUACUCAUAAAUCACUAUGUGAAUUGUCAUGUCAGUUCUGUUAAAAUUUUAACAGUCAAGUCAGUUUUUCCCUUAAAUUACUUUAAACUUAAAGGUUAAGGACUAAAAUGAUAAUAAAAAUUAACCAUUAAAAAUUAAAUUACCAAUAAUAAAUAUUACGAUAAAAAUAGUUUUAUUUUUUAUUAAAUAUUUUUACAUAAAAUUUAUAAAGAUCAAUUUUAUCAUUCCAAUCAAAACUUUAUUUUUCUUUUACAUAAAAAAAUGUCAUCCAAAAAAAUCAUAAUGUAGUGUAUAAUACAGACAUUGAUGUUAGAUUGUAAUUAUAUUAGCAUAGUAACUUGGUUUUCGGGGGAAAUAUUAUAAAGUACUUCAAAAGUUUCACAUGCCUAAAAUUCUUUUUGGUCUUGUUUAUGUGUAUUUUGGAAGCAAAUUAGGUUUAUAAUAUAAUUAUUAUUACUUUUUAAACAAUUUUAUUAUAGGUUUUGAUCAUAUUUGUUUUUUUUUUUAACAUAAUACCUAAAAUUAUCUAUAGCCCAUCCCUAACCGAUAAAUAGGAGGAUAAUGCAUUUCAGCGCACUCAAACCACGUCCUUCUGUCACGGGGCUAGACCUUUCGUCUCGCAAACCGUGCGGCCUUAGGCGAUCCGUUUGCUUCAAACUCUCCUAAGUCAGCCUUUACGCCCAAAAGUGAGGAUUCUUUAGAACUCCUCCAAGGCACCAAUUUGUAUAGCGAAAGCGAUUGUGCCAAAAGAAGCUACAAGAGAACAACAGAAAGAGCGUUCACAAAGUGUUUGAGUAAAUGCUCUCAAUUCUCUUAUUCACAAAGAAUAAUGAAACAAUUCAGGAGUGAGUACAAAUGAGGGGGAGGCUCUCUAUUUAUAGUUGAGCUCCCCCAAAACCGACGGUCAAGAUACAUUUACAUCGACGGAUGAGAUUUAACCAUAUCCCUUAAUUUUAGGGAUUUACAAGAUAAGCCUUAUCAAAUCUAAUCUAAUAUUUACAAGAUAUGAUUCCCUCUAUCUUCUAAGAUUAGUUACCAUAUUAGCCUAAGUUGCCAUCUCUUCAUUAUCGGGCCAACUAGGCUUCAAUCUGACAGGCUUAUCUAAUAGCUCUUUGAAUCGGGCCAGUUCUCAUAGGCCAAAUGAUCCCCAUCUAAGUAAUAGACCUCCAUUGGAUGCAUUUGGUGUGAUGGUCACGGGUUUUAAACUGCAGCCCGUGACAUUCUCCCCCACCCAUUCUCGCAACGCCCUCGUUGCGACUUCUGAAUGGCACUGACUUGAUUCGCCUCGGUCUCGUCUCGACGCCUUAGCCUUUCCCUUCUUUCGAGACUUUUGCCUCGGCAUACGUCGCUUCUUAACUCAAGCCAUCCUACUCGCUGCAUUUACUCUGGUCCACUAUCCCACAUGCAUCGUUUCUUUUUCCUUGAAGUCUGAUGCACCACCCACCUCUCCCAUAGGUGGAAGCAUUGUCGAUGACUCUGCCAACUCUGAUGCUUCACUCAACUUGAGCCUCAUUAGUCCUAGCUUCACUGUUUUCAUCGCAACUUUUCCCUUUAAGUCCAAUGACAAACUCACCUCUUCCUUUGGUGGAAGCCCCUCCGAUGACUCAACAAGCUCAUACAUUGCCUUUCUUUUGACUCCGGCUUACUUUGGACAGUUUCGCAACUCAUGCAGACCACGGCACAAGAAGUACUUUACUCGCUUCUUUUUGCUCCUCUUUGCCCUCUUGGCUUCGGCUUUUCCCUUGCUUGAACCAAACUUCUUGGGCUCCUUGUCUGCUCCAUCGUUUCCCUCGAUGACAGACUUCAUCGGACACUUCCACAACCUAUGCGGACCACGACACAAGAAGCACUCCACUGACUUUUUCUCGCUUUCGGCCUCCUUGCCUUCGACACCCCUUGCACUCAAACCAAGUACCAAGGCCUUACCCACCGACUUCUCCUUAAGCGCGGAUUUCUUCGGACAUUUCUUUAACAUGUGUGGACCGUCGCAAAGAAAGCAUUUCAGCUUGUCCCUUUUCCUCUUGGGUUUCUUCUUCCCAACUCGUGGUUUCCCAUUACCACCAUUGUCGCCAUUGCCAUUGCCAUCAACGAUAUCUUCCUUGUGAUCCAUUUCACAUACGUCCCUUUCCUCAGACUUGGAAGACCCAAGCUUGUCUUUCCCUAGACCAAGCUUGACCACGGACUCAACUACCGUCAUGGCUUCCGACAGCUUUUGGACACCUCUUUGUUCCACCUUCUGUCUGACCCACGGCUUCAAUCCAUUCUAAAAAGCAAGCAAUGCCUCUCUUUCGGUCACCUCUGAAAAUUGGAGCAUGAGUUCCUUAAACUCUUGAACAUACUCCCCCACUGUGCCCCGUUGCGUUAUCCCUUGCAACUUUGCCCGAGCUUCUUCCUCGGUAAACUCUGGGUAAAACUGUCCCUUCAACUCGCAUUGAAACUCUUGCCACGUUCCAAUCUCACUUUGCCUUUUAUCUGUGGUCCUACCUCACCACCAUAAAAGCGCAAUGUCAGUAAGAAACAUUGAAGCAGUAUUUACCUUAUCCGCAUCAUGCACGAUGCCUUUGGUACGGAAGUAGUGUUCUAUCCUCCACAAGAAAUUGUCCACAUCGCAUGCAGACCUUGUCCCUACAAACUCUUUCGGCUUUGGGACAUCCUCGUUACUGAGUGCUGCACUUGACACUCUAUUCCUCGCGGCUGCUCGGCACAAGGCCAGCUCUCCCUCGAGUUCCUCUAUUCUUGUACUCAAAGCCUUCGUCGUGGCCAUUUUUUCCUCUUUCAAAGCCAUCAUCAUGGCCUCGAGAGCAUCGUUUCUCUCCGUCAAUUUCUUCCUUUGGGAAUCUAGCAACUCUCGCACGUUAUCCUUUUGGGAAGUGAGACACGUGGUAACAAAGUCUCUGGACUGCUCCCUCAAGUCAUCAAUGCUUUCCCCAAGCGCAUUGCCUGACGCUUUUGCGUCCUCCAUGAACUCCUCAAGUUUACCCAAGCGUUCCUCAACAGCCGACAACAUCUCCCUCAAAGACUUCCUCGCCCACAUUUGUUCGAACUCUUCUCUCGACAUCCCAACGGUGCCUUUAAACCAACUCGAAUAUCACUUGGUUCAAAACUUGGCUCGGAUACUACUUGUCACGGGGCUAGACCUUUCGUCUCGUAAACCGUGUGGCCUUAGGCAAUCCGUUUGCUCCAAACUCGCCUAAGUCAGCCUUUACGCCCAAAAGUGAGGAUUCCUUAGAACUCCUCCAAGGCACCAAUUUGUAUAGCGGAAGCGAUUGUGCCAAAAGAAGCUACAAUAGAACAACAGAAAGAGCGCUCGCAAAGUGUUUGAGUAAAUGCUCUCAAUUCUCUUAUUCACAAAGAAUAAUGAAACAAUUCAGGAGUGAGUACAAAUGAGGGGGAGGCUCUCUAUUUAUAGUUGAGCUCCCCCAAAAUCGAUGGUCAAGAUACAUUUACAUCGACGGAUGAGAUUUAACCAUAUCCCUUAAUUUUAGGGAUUUACAAGAUAAGCCUUAUCAAAUCUAAUCUAAUAUUUACAAGAUACGAUUCCCUCUAUCUUCUAAGAUUAGUUACCAUAUUAGCCUAAGUUUCCAUCUCUUCAUUAUCAGGCCAACUAGGCUUCAAUCUGACAGGCUUGUCCAAUAGCUAUUUGAAUCGGGCCAGUUCUCGUAGGCCAAAUGAUCCCCAUCUAAGCAAUAGACCUCCAUUGGAUGCAUUUGGUGCGAUGGUCACGGGCUUUAAACUGCGACCCGUGACACUUCUACAUUGACAACAAUAUUUAUACCAGUCGAGCUAUGACUCAAUCGGCAUAAGUUAAUUAUCUUGGUGCUAAAGGAGACAUACUAUAAAACAUGUCCAUAGAACAUAGGCAACAUCCAAGGGAAGCACAAAAAUAUUGAAUAGAUACUUCACUUUGUUUAAAAUUAUCUUAAUGUUAAAUGGAACAAUUUAAUCCAUAUAUUAUUAUAAAAUUAAAUAAAGUGAAAUGGAGUUAGCAUUUACUGUUAAAAAUAUCAUUUAUUAUUUAACGAAUAUAAUAUUUUUAAAGUUUUUAUGGUUCUAUAAAUAAAAUGUUUUGUUUAGAAUUUAAUUGCAAUUGAAAAAAAAUAAGUUUCAAGAUAUUUUUUAUACGGUAAAUGUUAACAUUUUUACAAUUUAGACUUAUUUGGUUCUUUUUUAUAAUAUGAGGAUUAAAUCAAUCCAUUUGAUAAUAAAUGGACUAAUUUGAUGUGAUCUCUAUAAUACAGGGACCUCCUAAGUGCUUUAACCAUUUGGAUAGUCAAGGAAGGCUUGGUAUAGUUAGUUAGCAAAGGCAAGGCCUUGGAUCUUGAGUAUCUAAGUUUAAGACUCACCAUGCACAAUUAAAUCCGUGGGUCUUUGAGUUUCACCAUGAGCAAUUGUUAUGUGUGAGUUUUAGUCUGAUUAGUUCGUAAUAGUUUGAUUAUACGUUUGGUGGUUGCUUGGACAUAUAUUUAUACUUAUACGAUACUUGUGGAUGAAUAUUUGAAUAUAUUUUAUACAAAAUUUAGUUCUAUCCUUAACCCCUUCCUACUUUUAAAUUGAAGGAAAAGACGCACUUAAAUGUGUUUGAAUUCAUAUUCUCCUUAAUUGUUAUAAUUGUAAUUGUGUCAAUUGAAUUAAGACUCAAUCGAGAAAUGAGAUGCCAUUGUUUGCUAUUCUCUAAAAAUGGUGUUAUAUUUGAUAUUGGUUUAAAUUUGGCUGUUACCCUAUACUUGUUAAAAGCUAUAAAUUAAAUCUUUGUAUUUUUAUUUAGUCAUUUUUAAUCUUUGUAUUUUUUAAAAUUUAAAAUUUUAGUCUUCAUCAAAGUGUAAUUGUUAAAUCAAAAGAUAAAUCGAGAGAUAAAAGUAAAUGAAUAAGCUAAUAGCUUUGAAGUGAAAAAUUUUAUCCUUGUAUCUUAAGGGAACUCUUACCUUUGCAUACUUUUAAAAUAAUUUAUUGCCAUAACAAAGACUAUAAUUAAUUAGUAGCUUAGAUUAUAAAAGCGAAGGCAAAGCUAAAAAAACCCUAUAAAAAUGUAUGUGGAUGUUGCGACUACUUUGAAUCCUGGAGAUUUAGUCAUGGGAGGUGUAUGUCGAGAUAAUGUUGGAUCUUGACUAUUUGGAUUUACUGGGAAGUUAGGAUAUGGGCACAACACCAAAGUUGAGUUUUAUGCUAUAUAUAAUGGUCUUCGUCUGGCAUGGGAACAUGGCAUAAGGAAUCUUGUUAUCGAGUCAGACUAACUUGUGGCUAUUAACAAUAUUUUGACCCCUUUGCAACAACAUGAUCCUCUCUCCUUAAUGAUCCAGAUUUGUGAGCUGCGUCAAUGCAAUUGGACUUGUAGUCUUGAUCAUAUUUAUCGUGAAGCUAAUAUGUGUGUGGAUUUUUUUGGUGAGCUGGGCAUUUCAAGGGCCUUUGGUGUAAUUAAGCUGGUUCACCCUCCAAGAAUCUUACCAAGGAUAUCCAAGAGGACAUUAUUGGUGUAACUAGGCCUAGGGCCAUUAUUACUUAAAGAGGUCUUGGACCGCUCCUAUGUACAAAAAAAAAACCCUAUAAAAAUUAGAACCAAUUAAUUUCCCUUUGACUUGUCAAAAAUAAUUGUUUUUUUCAACAUUAAUUAACUGUAAAUUAAAAAGUAUUGAAAAUUAUGAGAUGGCUUUUAGAUUUACCAUAAUUUAUAGUUUUAACAUUUUUUAACAAACAUUUAUACUUUAUUAUUCAAUUAAAAUCUUAUUUAAUAUUUAUAUUAAUUUUUUUAAAAUUUAUAUUAGAUAAUUAUGAAUAUACCAUAAUCUAAUAUAUAUUUUGACCCAAUAGAUAAAAUAUGUUCAAAUAUGCUAAGUCUUUAUAUUCUUUUAAAUUUGGAAUUUAGUUACUGUAGUUUUACUUUUAGAAAUUUAGCCUUUUUACUUUUUAGAUUUUAAAAUUCAAAUCCAACUGUUAACUAGAGGUGCUCAUGGGACUAGUUAGGUCGGGCCUAAGCAUGAUAUUAACAUACUUUAUAUUUGCUUAAACCCAUCCCAACUCAAAAUAUGGGAUUAAACUUUGCCCAAAUCCGUUCAUAUUUGUAAAAAAACUAAGUCAAGUCCAUUUUAGGUCCACCCAUAUUAUUUAAAAAAAAUAUUUAUUUUAUUUAAUUUUAAUAUUUAAUAAUUUUAUUCAUUUUUUAUUUAUUGAAAAUUUUUAUAUAGUCAUAUUAACAUUAUUUUAAUGUUUACAUUAGAGUAGUAUUAUAUAUUUAAUAUAAGUUUCUUUUUUUAAUGUGUUCUAAAUUACAUAAUAUAUAAAAAUAACAUAAUAUAAAGUAUUAUAAACUUAAAAAUGGGUCGGGUCGGGCUGAGCUUGGGCCUUGAAUGUUCAAGCCUGUCCCAUAUUUUAAACGGGCCUUUUUUUACCUAGACUCAUUUUUCGAGCCUAAUAUUUUUGUCUAAACCCUUCCAAAUUUUGGGUGAGCCUUUGAGCCUGGAUAGAUAACUCAGCCCAUGAAUAGGUCUACUGUUAAUACAAUUAUAAUUAAUUUGUUAAAUUCAAGUUCAUUCCAACUUCAUAUUUUUAGUUACAUUAAUACUAAGUGAUUUUUUUUUAUCAAAAUAACACACUAACAAAUUUAAUAACAAAAUUAUAUAAUUAGAAACCCUUUUCACUCUUCUUCUGUGACUGUUAAAGCUUGGGACCAGAACGUCAACGUUUCGUCUAUGUUGAUUGUAUAGGUGGGAAAAAGGCAACAGUGUUGUUGAUGUAUUACCAAUGACCAAAUUGGAUGAGUUUAUGGAAAUGGUGGAAUUAUUUAUAAGGACAUCAAAUAUCAUACCGAUAUUCAAAUUACUUAAGUUUUAAGAAAUGCUAAGAGGAAGAAGGUGGAUUAUUUAUUAGAAUUUGCUUUUGUUGAUCCACUUUGAGAUGAUAAGAUUGGGUUUGGUUGAUUAGAAUUUCAGUGAGGUAGAUGUGUCGGAAUUUGUGUUUUAAGAGGACGAAAUUUUGAAAAUAAGCGAGAGUUGUAGGUGUAAAAACUCGGAGGUUUAUGGAGAUGUUGUUUAAGUGUAUGACUGGGUUGAUAUCAUAAAUUAAUUCGACACCAAUUCAAUUAAUAAAAUUAUUAAAAUAUCAUUUCAUAUUUUAAAUAAAGCAUAUUAUUAUUAAGGAAAAAACCUAAUAAAAAAGUUGCAAAUAUUAAUAUUUGAACUCAUACUUUUAACAUCUAUAAAAUCUUGUCUUUAUCGUUUUAACUAAAGCUUUAUUUUAAUAUUUUUAUACAUUUCAAUGUCAUUACACAUUGUUUCACCCACAUUAUUUGCAUGUUACACAUGUUUUAAAUAUGUUAUUUCUAUAUGUAUACUCGUGUGAUAUAAUUUCUAAUAUAUUUGGGUCUUUAAUGUUGAUUCUCUUUAGCUAGUAAUACUUGGCCAUCGGAUAUCUUGAAUUUCAUCGCUCUUUAAGAUGCAAGUUGCUUAUAUAUAUAAUGAUAUAACAAUUUUAUUUAUUUAUUUUUGUAUAAUUACAUGUAUUUUUACCAGUUUUACGGUCUAAGUUUAAUUUUGUUCAAACUAGUGAUGAUUCUAAGAUUUGAACUCAGUCCGAAUAAUUGGGAAAGAAGUCUACUACUACUUUUUCCUGACCACUUGUUUUUAAAAACAUAUAUUUAAAAUUAAUAUGAGAAAUCAAUACAUAAAAAAAAUAGAAUUAUUUUUAAAUUAGUCUUAAACUUCAAAAUAUUCUAACUACAUCUCUAAACUAUUGAUGUUAUAUCAAUUAGGUCCCUUCAUUAUUAAAUUUGUUAAUUUAACUGUUAAAUGACACGUCAGAAUUUAUCUAACAUAAUUUAAAAUGAAAAUUUUAAGAAAAAUGAAUAUUGCAAAAAUAGAUGUUUGAAAAUCUUAAUUUUAUGGUAUUCAAAACUUUUACAAAAAUUUUACCAUGUACUAUUUUUUCAGUUUACUUUAUUUUUAAUUUUUACUUUUAAAAGUUAUUCAACAACGUUCUAUUUAUUCAUUUUAAAUUUAGCUAUAUAAGAUUUGAUGUAUCAUUUAUCGGUUAAUUUAACAAUUUUAAUAGCGAAAGGACCUAGUUGAUAUAAUAUCAAUAGUUUAGGAAUGUAAUGAGAACAUAUUAAAGUUUAGGGACUAAUUUAAAACAAAAGUCAUAGUCUAGGGAUGUCUGGUGUAAUUAACUUCAAAUAACAUUUUAGAAAAAAAUGAACUAUCUUUAACUCAUAUGAAGCAUUAACUAAAACUCUCAUCAAACUCUUAAGUGGUGCAAGUUUAAAUUAUAUCACAAAAGUUCUUAAAAAUUAAUUUUUUAAUUAUUGAUCCGAUGGAUUGAUUGGAUUUAGAUAACCAUGACCCCUUCCACCGCUAUCAAAAAGAAGAAAUUUGAGCCUGAAGCCCUAAAGGGUUUUCUUGGGCUUCGAGAAGUACAUGCAUUCCUUGUCUAAAUCGGGCCUAACGAGUUCAUAAGAAAUAAAUCGGUGGAUGAUUUGAGAUUUGACAUAAGAAGAGAUUCGUAGAAGUGGGGAAAGUUCUAACAGAAUUCCCACUGCUUCCAAACCCAAAAUUUUUAAUUUUUUUCUGGGAAUGUGCAGUUCAAGAUAAGAUAGCUUUACACGUUUCCCAAUUCAGCAAUCCAUUUCUGCAACCAAAAACACAAAACACUCCAUCAAUUUAUAAACUCGAAGCAAUUUGAAGAAAUCCCAUCACUCAUUUCACCUCCAAUCCUUUUAAAAACAGGGCAUUCAAUAUGCAGGAGACCAAUAAUUCUCGAGUCAACCAACGAAUUGCAACAAUCUCGGCUCAUCUCAACCCACCCAGUUUUUCCCACAUGGAGGGUAGUUCGGGUUUGGGUCGAGCUGACUGCCGAGCCGAAGGUGGGUCAACUGGUUUCAAGGUGGCGAUUUUGGGAGCGGCAGGUGGGAUAGGGCAACCGUUAUCAUUGUUGAUGAAGAUGAACCCUUUGGUUUCUGUUCUUCAUCUUUAUGAUGUGGUUAACACUCCUGGUGUUACUGCUGAUAUUAGCCACAUGGAUACUGGAGCUGUGGUAUGCUAGUGUUUUUCAAGUUCCCUUUUACGUAAGAAUUUCUUUAUUGAUUGAAAAUUGAAAUCCAUAUAUAAGUUCUAAUUAGUGGUGGAAAUGGAAUUGGUAGACUUAAGAGUAUUUCUGGGUUGUUCUUGCUUGUUGAGUUGAAUUUCAUGUUGUUGAAUGGGAAUCAAGAUAGAAUUAUGAUCAAGCUGUAGUUAAGAUAACAAAGCAUCAAAAUUCAACCUUGAAACCAAUAGGCAAUGAAGCUGACAACUUUACCCCACAAGUUUUAUGCUUGAUUAAUAUAAUCCAUAUAUAAGAAUUAUGGUUUUUCUUAGUAAUGUUGUUGAAUUUUUUAGGUUCGUGGAUUUCUGGGGCAACAGCAAUUGGAGGAGGCUCUAACAGGAAUGGACCUUGUAAUUAUUCCAGCUGGAGUUCCUAGGAAACCUGGAAUGACAAGGGAUGAUCUUUUCAACAUCAAUGCUGGAAUUGUUAAGACACUGUGUGAGGGAAUAGCUAAGUGCUGUCCCAAUGCUAUUGUCAAUUUGAUUAGUAAUCCUGUUAAUUCCACCGUUCCGAUCGCCGCAGAAGUUUUCAAGAAAGCUGGCACCUUUGAUCCAAACCGACUUCUGGGAGUCACAAUGCUUGAUGUUGUGAGAGCCAAUACGUUUGUGGUAACUACAAAACUUGCCAUUGGUUUAUCAUUCUUUGUUGUUAAUUAGCCAACUCUGGAUUUUCCCACACAACGUUGAAUAGGUUUCCUUUGUAUGGUAAUCAUAAUGCUUGCCUUUAAUGUAUUUUCUUCUUCACUGGUAAUGAACCAAAUCUGGAUUCUGAUAGACAUUGAUGGAUCUGUUUUUUUCCAAAAUAGUAUAUGUAUCGUAUAUGCCUAUAAUGGAAACUGUAUAAUCUAUGGUGGGAUAAACUGUUACUAAUGUUCAUUUCUGAUGUUCUCUUGUAAUUUUUGCCCUCAUUAGUUUGGUUUCUUUAUAGGCGGAAGUCAUGGGUCUUGAUCCGCGGGAGGUUGAUGUUCCAGUUAUUGGGGGACAUGCAGGGGUUACUAUUUUACCUCUUCUAUCUCAGGUUGAAAAGUACUUGUUUUCAAUUCAAACAAUUUUGUAUUAAAAAGAACAUUCUAUGUAAGAGCUCACCGUUCCCUUUAUACAGGUUAAGCCUCCAUGCUCUUUCACCCAAAAAGAAAUCGAUUAUCUGACAAACCGCAUUCAGAAUGGUGGUACAGAAGUCGUUGAGGUAAAGCAUUUAUGUUUUGAUUUCUAGACUGAAAACUCCGAUAGCUGGAAACCUUAUGGUGAACUAAAAGUAAUCAAAUCUAUGGGACUUAUGUUAGUUCAGACAAAAUGUUGAGCAAAUCACAAUUUUGCACCUGUAGAGCACAUCUGGCUAAUAUACCUCAAAAGUACACUAUGAUCCAUGGGACUCAUGUUAGUUAAGUCAAGCUGACUAUGCUGCACGGUUCCCUUAGUUUUACCAACAUAUUCACUUGUUGUUCAUGUUAGAAUGCACCAUCAUUCCUUGGUUCUUGAAAACUUAUUUGAUAUGUUCUUGCAUAUUGUUACCGUCAUGGUGUUUACAUGCUGGACGGCUGGUGAGUAAUCAUAAUUUGUAACUUCUUGCAGGCAAAGGCUGGUGCUGGGUCUGCAACAUUAUCGAUGGUUAGUUACUUCUCUCUCUCUCUCUCCACCACUAAGUACUGAUUUUGUUUGUUCCUAUGUAAGACAUGGUUUUAGGCUAUAGGCUGGUUCUGAAUGCAUAUUGAAACACAUAAACAAAAGUGCAGGCAUAUGCUGCGGUUCAAUUUGCCGAUGCAUGUCUUCGGGGCUUAAGAGGAGAUGCUGACAUUGUUCGAUGUGCAUUUGUGGCUUCUCAUGUAUGUUAUCUGUGUCUUUACAGUAAAAGCUCUCCCUGUUGCGCCGUCCCCCUUCCUUAUUCUUUCUUUUAAGCUUAUAGUAACGACUAAUACACUUCCUUCUAGGUGACUGAAUUGCCCUUCUUCGCAUCCAAGGUAAGACUCGGUCGUUGCGGAGUUGAGGAAAUAUACCCUCUUGGCCCACUAAAUGAGUAUGAGAGGUAUGCGUUUCGAACUAACAUGCAAUAUAUAUAAUUUGUCCCUAUCUAAAUUUAACAUAAAUGAUAAUCAACAGGGUUGGCUUGGAGAAGGCGAAGAAAGAACUAGAAACUAGCAUUGAGAAGGGGGUUGCCUUUGUCAAGAAAUGAAUAGGUACUCCAAUACCCCCAAAUCUACCUUUUCUCUGAUAACCAAAGUUUGUAAGAAUAAGGGGUAACUCUCCUCUUUUGUUCUACAUAAACCCUUAGUCAUGGGGUUCCUAGAUGUGACCCAACAUGGCAAAUAUGGACCAUGGUAAAAGAUUCAUGUAAUAAAUAGAAGAAAUGGUUUGUAAACUUUUCAUUUAUUUCAUUUCUUAUUCUAAUAUAAUCAAACAGAAUAAGUUAAAUCGAGCAAAGCGUCCCUUACACUCGGAGCACGGAAUGUUAGUUGGUUGAGUCUCUCCUGAAAUACUCAAACCUAUUCCGUGUUACUCAAUUGAUAGUUAUGCUCUCAUCAAAUCAAGGGGUGCUUAAAUCCUUUGGUUCUAAAUGUAAACAGCCUGUCUGCUUGGAUUAUUCUUCAGCAGUAAACUCCAGCCAUUACUGCCCUUUCACCUUGGUGAAAAAUCUUGGUCCUUUACUGCUCUACAUAGCCAAGCCAAGAAGUAACUGGGGUGAGUCAACAUCCUAUAUGCUUUGGGCCUGAAAUUUCUAAAACAUAAAUGAACCAAUCAAAUGGGGGUAUUCUGUCCAAUUUUUGGCACAUUUUUUGGCCCAUAUGUAAACUAAGAGUUUACUUGCAUGUUUCAUUUUUUACUUUCUUUUAAUCCUUUUUUUAAUUAAAAAGCUGAGAAAGAUUCUAAAUUUACAAGCUUAACCAAACAUAAAUGAUUACCUCUUUUGCAAAACAAAUGUAAAAAGCCCCUUUUCUUCAGUUCUUUAUCUAAGAAAAGAAGACAAAAGAAAAAAGAGAAUAAGGGCUACGUGAGUGCCAGAAAUUGCUCUGCCUUUCCUAGUAGGAUGCCAUAUAAAAGCUCACAUGAUAGCUAUUUGCAUUUAGUGCUACUUUAUUUAUUUUUGAAGCUUUGAUUCUAAUGGUUUCUACGAAUAUAUUAUUAAUAUAAAUUUCUUUCCUCAAAUUUCAUAGUGAAUUCUUAAGAUUGUCAUGUCUCUAUUUAGUAUGAUUGUAAUUGUUUGAUACCAUUUUAACAAGAUAAUGCUUCUAAUUAUAUAGUAAGAACCAAAGAUUAAGUUGAAGUAAUUAAUAGGAAUCUAUAAAGAUGGCCCCAUGAAACAUUACAUUGUUCUUUUUAUUUUUUAAUUUGUUUCAUCAAGUUUAUUCCUUUUUCAAAUUCACUGCCAAAAGGUAUUCUUUUUUCUACCCCACAAGUUUUUCCAUGAAAAUAUCUGUUACAUUAUCUGUUAAUGUAUAUUUUUUUUAUGAAAUUUACCUUUUUCGAUCUUUUUACUGAAAAGUACGAGGGGAGCAGGUUUGAAAUACUAUAUAUAAAUUAAACUAGUGGAGUGGACUUAAGGUUUAAAAGUUACUUUAAUGGAAUAUCAUCCAUGUAAUAUAUGAACUAUAUUGAAGAUAAAGUAUUUCCCCCCUGCCCCCACAUCCUUUUUAGACACACUAAGUUAUUCUUUAUAUGAUAUUGUACACAAAUUAUCACAUUAUUUAAUUUUCCAUAAUCUUAUAUUAAUCUUAUUUCUAAUUCCUAAACACAUGCAUAUGCUUCUUAAUAUUGCACUAUAGGCCAAACUUUGUUUUCUAGAUAUGCUAGACAGGUUUGAGCUAAAGUCCACUUAAUGCAAUUUUCUUUCUUUCCUUUUUCAUUCUCCUUUUACAGUCUAUUUUGUUCACUAGAGUAGGGUUCCACUUUUCUCUUUGUUGAUUUUUCAAAAGUUAUGAACGUGAAAGGUCUUGUCAUGUCUAUCCUUUUGUUUUUCUUUUCUUUUAUGUGUGUGUGUGUGAUUUGCAGUGAAACAGUGUCUUAAUUAUUGGAUGGAAAGUGGGAGUGGUUAUUUUUAGGGGAGGCCAGCAAUCAAUCUAUCCAUGCAUAUGUGUGUUUCUUUAAUAAGUACAAGUAAAUUAGUGCAUUUUGAAUAAUUAUCAGUAAAACUAAUCACUAUAAUGCACUGUUGAGAAUUUACUACUUGAACAUAGAUAUCAAAGACCUUAUGAUUUCAAUCUUGUAGGUAAGUUAAAGUACUUGUACAUUACAAAUUCAUGGAGAGAAUAUUGUUAUAAAAAGGAGCAAUAUAUAAUUUGGUACUUGUGUUUUUUCUUUUUUAAUCUAUUAUUUGUAUUUGAUAAAUAUUUUGGUACUUAAAGAUAAUGGUGUAACUUAUUAGUGUUCAAUUUAGGUUUUAGGGUUGAUUUGAUGAAAGGUAAUUGGUAUUAUUAUUAGGUUUGAAUUUUUCAUGAUUUUGUUAAUAGAAUAAGUUUAGUAUUAAUUGUGAAUGUGCAUGUGAUUUAUCUCGAAUUUUAGGGUUGAUGUGAUAAAUGCUAAUUGCUAAUAUUAUUAGCUAAUUUUAAAUUUUCAUCAAAUCAGCUAUGAAACUCGAAUUAAACACAAAAUUAAUGUUGUUACUUUCAGGUAUCAAAAUGUAUAACUUUUGUCAAAUGUGGGUACCACAUUGGAUCAAAAAAUGAUGAGUACCACAUUAGACAAAAGAUAUCAAACUUCAGUACCAAUUCAUGUAUUAAUAUCAAUUAUGAUCUUUAUUUAACGAUUUCAAACUUUUAGAGAUCUCGUUCAAAUUUAAACUUGCUAAAUUUAAGCUCAAAUAAAAAUUUUAUUUAUGUUAUUUAAGAUAUAUUAAGAUAUAGGUGAGAAUAUGGAUAAGCACAAUAAAUUAGCUUAAGGAAUGGUAUAUUCAUUGUACCUAAAAAGUUGGGGAAGUAACCAAGAGAACCACAAAUGAUGAAAGAACAAAAUAAUAGCAAUAAAUGAAGGCAUGUGGGCAUUGGCCUAGAAUGGUACCCCAAAUUAAUUGAUGAAAAAAGAAUUAAAUGAAAUUUUAUAUCAUAAAUUCUUAAAUGAGGCUAAAGAUGUCAGAAAACCCUAACUUCAAUGUCACAAAAUUUAAAGCCAGAUGCUGAAAAAAAAAACAUGGGUUCCCACAAACAUCUAUGUUUGUUGUAUUAAUCAAGUCCUUUACCUACAUUGUGGACUUUAGCUUUUUCUUCCCCUAAUUUCAGCUUUUAUUGCAGUUUGUACCAAUUUUUUCAUUCCAAAACCAAUAUAGCUCUUUGCCUCUUAAUUCUCUAUAGCCCCUAACAUGGACUACAUACAUAUAUAUACAUAAACCCUAGUUGCUCUCAUUUUUAAUUUGUUUGUACCUCAAUUAUUUUUAUAAAAACAUAACAAGUAUUUACUGAUGAUGUAUGUUAAUAUGGUUGAAUUUGGUAUUGAGAGGGCUGAAAUAAGAUUAGGAAUUUUGAGGGAGAAAGUUCAAAGUUUUAUUUUAAAAUGUUUUAAAUCGAAUUAUUAAUAAUUGGGAGGAUCAAAACUGCUAUUAUUUCAUUUAAUCAAGGGGUUGAGGCUUUUAUCUGUCCCUAGCUAAGCUCUUGUUGAUAGUAUAUAAAUUUACUCAUUACCAAAGUAUCAAAUACAAACCCUUUUUUUUACGUUUAUUCACUAAAUUUUAAAAAGUUACGACUUUAAAAACAUAACCCUAAAUUUUUUUGUUCUCUAAGUAAAAAAAAUGAUGAGUAAAAAAAGAAAAAGAGAGAAAUAUAUAUCCUAAUAAUUGGAUAAGAUAGGGGCAAAUCAAAAUAAACAUUGGAUCCCCAUAAUUGAAGAAUGGCAUAUAUUAGUGGGAAAUUAUGGUGUCCCAAUUCAUUUUUAAUCUGAUGAGUGCUCACCAUUGCUAAAGAUAGUAUUGGAAGGCAAAAAAGAAAAGGAAGAUGGAGACAACACACAUGGAUUUUUUCACAGCUUUCAUCUUACAUCAUUUAGUCUUAAAAUAUCACAACAAAAUAAUUAUUUUUUCCAAUCCUUUUUUUUUUUUAUCAUCGUUUGAAUUUUAAUCUAUAAUCUAUAGUCUUAGAAGGAGGCAGUACUGGAUCCCAAUGUAAGAAAAUAAAGACAAGAUCGAAGUUGCUAAGAAAAAAACCAGUCCUUUUGCUGGGUUGGGUGCCCUCACCCCUGUCGGAUGCAUGCACAUGAAAAUUAUUUCGACUUAAUUUACGUUACGAGAAAGAAAAUGGGUUAGCAGAUAUCAAUCCUUACGAGCAAAAUUAAAGGAAUUGUAUUAAGGAGUCAAAGUGCAAUUUUACUUAUGUCUUUAUUAACUUUCAAGUAUUUGAGUUAUCGAAUAUUAUUUUUGAAAAGAAUAUAUAUGAAUUAAUUAAAUUAAAAUUUGAAUGAUAUUUUUUUUUGAAAUUUAUAUUUAUUUAAUGCAAUUGAUUGUUGAUAGUAUGCAAUUAAAAUCCCUAUUCACAAGAAUCCUGAAACACAUGCAUCCCAUAUUAUUCCACCUUAUCAUAUUUACCUCAUUUUUCUGCUCUCCAUUCCAUAUAUUUUGUCCUUUCUAUUUGUUUUUUUUUCUCUUUUUCAUUUAAUAUUUUCUCACUUCCUCAUCAAUCAUUGAGCAAUAAUAAUAAAAUCUAUUUUCUUUUGAAUUUUUCUUCUUUGUUAAGGUUUCUACUAUUCGACCGCAAUCAUUGAACAUUCCCUUCACAAGAAAAAAGAAAUAAAUUUUAUAAAAAAAAUAUUUAUGUAGUUAAUAAUCUCUUUAUAUAUAUAUAUACAUAUACAUUUCAAUUCUCUUGAAUAAAUAUGUGCGGGUCUAUUCAGAUUUGUUUUGGUUUAGGCGUGGAUAUAUAUUUCGAUUAUCAAUUUUUUUAUUUAUACAUUGCAGGCUCGUUCUUGAUAUUUUUGGAGCUCUAAGUAAAACAAUAAAAUGAAAGGUAUGUUAAUUGUGAAUGUAGAUAAAAGAAUGAAAAAUGGAAGGUGAAGAUAAUGUUGGUUUAAAGUGACAUGUUGAGUAGGUUGUAUUAGGUUUUGAACAUUGAUGUCCACUCAUUAAGUUGCCAAUUAUUUAGUGGUUAACCCUACAUUCAAUGUGCUAAAUUGCCUAAUUCAAACCCAAACCGACAGUAUAAGAUCCUUGAAUAGAUAUCUAAGGACCCCCCAAAAAAAUUACAACUUUGUACCUUUAACAUAUAAGAAGAUCUAUGGAAGGACCGAUUAGUGAUAUAAUUUAUUAUUUGAGGGCUUUUCUUUUUUGUCCUUCUUGUUGUAUUUUCCCUUCACCUGUCAAGAACCCUAAAUGAGAAGGGACCAUAUGCUCACAUUUAUGCAACAUCAGAAGGGGAAACCAGAGAAAUUUUGAAUCACAAAAGUGACAAAACAUGCAAAAGCACAUGUAUGAAAGGAAGUGGGAGAUGAAUUUCGAGUUUAUUUUUUGAUAUUUCGUGCAAUCACUUUUAAAAGAAAAUAUCUAAUAGGCCUAAAAUUCGAGUUUAAGCAUAUAUGAUAACUCUGUCUCCUUAUUUGCGUAGUAAAUGGUCAAAUUAUGAUUUUAGUUCUUUUAUUAUGCUCAAAUUUAGUUUAUCAUUAAUUAAUCUAAGUAGUUAAAUCAUGUUUAGCUGUUUCAAUUAAAAUGUUGAUUUGGAUAGAUUAUAUAGCAAAAUCCCACCAACUUUGCCACAAAUGGUGAAGGCUUUAUUAAAUGUUAGCUUUCCUCUUUGAAUGGGGCAUAUGAGGUAGUAUCAUGCCACUACUAUGAAAUUAAAAUUGAAGUCCUUCAACUUCAAGUCAUUGGGUGGGUCUCCAAUGUUACAAAAAUAGGGUCAUCCUGCCCUUUGGAUUUUGGACAAUAUUAUAGGUAUAUAGCUUAAUAUUAUUAUGUUGGAGUGGACAUUCAUUAAUAAUAACAAACAAAACAUAAAUAAUAAUAUGCAUAGUUUUCACAUUUUUUUUAUAUUUCAUAAAAAUUUUAAUGAUAGUUUCAAUUUUUCAUUUUUUUAUUAACUAAAUAUAUAUUUUAUUAUUAGUUUUAGUGCAGGUUUGGAUAAACGGUAUAGUGUGUUUAAUUUACUUUUUGUCUCAAACUAUAAUAUUUAAUUUCACCAUCACCGUUAUUUUUAUAUUAACUACAAGUAAAUGCACCGCGUAUCCAAACUCACCCUUAACUUUACUAUUCCGAUCACAACUUCCCUCAUAGAAAGGAAAGGAAAAGGAAAUUAAAAAAGAAAUAUGAAUGAUGAAAGCAAAAAAAAAAAAAAAAAUAAAGAAAGAAAGAAAGGUACUUCCUAAUUAAAAAACAAUAUAAUGUCAAAUUAUUUUCUUUAAAAAAUUGUCAAUCAGAAUGUCCGACAACAUAUUGACAUGCUUUGGAUUUAAAAUUUCAAACAAUAAUGCAUGGUCGAAAAUAGAAUAAAUUAUUUUACGUGAAAAAAAAUAUUUUUAAAAUUUUAAAAUACAUUACAUUGUUUUUUAAAUAUAAUUUUUGUGAAACUUUUUAAGUAAAUUUAUUGAUUGUGCAUUAUACCAAUUGAUUAUUUUAAUAUAGUUCAAAUAAAUGUUUAAUUCUGUUCAAAAUUUUUCUACUUCCGCACUUUUGAAAUUUAGUCCAUUUACUUUUUAAUCCUCGAGAAUUUAGUGUUUUUUCUCUUUUGAUUUAAUAAUUGAGAUCAAAUUGAAUAUCGAUAAUACAAUCAUUUGAAUUAGAUUAUUUGGUAUUUUCAAAAUGAAAAAAAUUACUCACGUGGUCGAUAUUACACGCAUGGAAAGUUAAUAAGCAAAUAAAAAGGUUAAAUCUAGGGUUAUAGGAUUUUUGUUUCAAAAUUUGAGGUUAUAAAAUUCUUUAGUAAUGUUUCUAAGAAGCAUAGUAAAAGUCGAUACUUUUGUUUUUUAUUUUAAAAAAAUACCACAAAACUUAUUAAUUGUGUUAUUAUUUGAACUUCAGCUAUUGAAUAACAAAUGAACUAUUUUUUUAAAGUUAAAAAUAGAGAGAUUCAAUUUUAUUAAAAAAAAACACGGGUUGCAAAAUUCAACCAUAAAUAAAUAUUGAAUUUAUAUUAGAGUAAAUUAAAUGUCACUAAACUAUUAGUAAGUUCUCUUAAUAAGUUGAAGUGUUAAAAAGAAUAACUAUUAGUAAGUUACGUUUUCGUCACUCAACUUCAAAAGUUACAAAAUGAUCACUAAAUUAUUCGAAAGUUUUCAUUUAAGUUACCGGACUGUUAAAUUCGUCGUUCUAUGGUUUUCUCUAUUAACAUCGUCUACACCAAUUGAAAUAUCUUUUUUUCUUCUUUUUUUUCUCUAGUUUAGUUUUUUUUAAUAAAAUAACUUUGAAUGUCAUAAAUUUACAAAUUAAAAUUCAAAUAUCUUUCUUCUUUGAUCUUCGACAUUAACCAUCAUACCAACUUAAAUCUAAAAUAUAUUGUUGACACUGUUUUUUAGGAUGAAAAAUGGGGUUGACUUGGGUUUUGAAAAAAAAGAAACGGGAGUCGCCACCAAUCCUCUUUUUUUUAUGAGGUGCGAUUGGAUUACCUCAAAGAGGGGUUGUUUUUAAUAAACGGUUUGAUUUUAUUAAAACAACAAGUUUGGUCCACGAAAUUUAGAAAAACGGGUUCGGGAGUCGGUUACGCACGAGGAAGGAUUAGCACCCUCGAUACGCCCAAAAUUGGUACCUAGUUGAUUACUUAAUGUCUUAAUGUCAAAAAUUGAGAACCUUGAAGAAUUUUAAAAAUACGACCCUUGUAUUAAAACGUUGAAAAUUUUCAGGAAAAAGGGGAUAUUUCACGUUAUUCGAGAAAGAGAAUCAUAUCUAGUAAGUUAGGAUACAAUGUCUCAAAUUCCCGAUACGCGGAUGAAAAAUGCUUAUUUAAAAGAUAUUUUAUUAUCUUGGUUUUAGAAAUAAAUCAGGCCCAGUAAGUUAGGGCACGAUCUUUUCUUAAUUCCCGAGAUCGUUUAAAAACUUGAGUUUGAAAAGAUUCGUGUAUUUAGAUUUAUUAUGAAAAUCGAAACCCAGUAAGUUAGAGUACGAUCCUUUCGAAUCUAAACACGAAAUAUUUUUAAAACAAAUUUUGUUAUAUCGAGUAAAAUAAAACACGAAAAUCGUAAUAAAAAAUGUGAAAGCAAAUUACAUUGUUGUUAUACGUGGUAAAAUCAUAAUACACAUAAAAAUAAAAAAUAAUACGAGCAAUAGCAACAAUAAAUAUCUUUUAAAUAAGCAUUUUUCAUCCGCGUAUCGGGAAUUUGAGACAUUGUGUCCUAACUUACCAGAUAUGAUUCUCUUUCUCGAAUAACGUAAAAUAUCCCAUUUUUCCUGAAAAUUUUCAACGUUUUAAUACAAGGGUCGUAUUUUUAAAAUUCUUCAAGGUUCUCAAUUUUUGACAUUAAGACAUUAAGUAAUCAACUAGGUACCAAUUUUGGGCGUAUCGAGGGUGCUAAUCCUUCCUCGUGCGUAACCGACUCCCGAACCCGUUUUUCUAAAUUUCAUGGACCAAACUUGUUGUUUUAAUAAAAUCAAACCGUUUAUUAAAAACAACCCCUCUUUGAGGUAAUCCAAUCGCACCUCAUAAAAAAAAGAGGAUUGGUGGCGACUCCCGUUUCUUUUUUUUCAAAACCCAAGUCAACCCCAUUUUUCAUCCUAAAAAACAGUGUCAACAGCUUGGCGACUCCACUGGGGACUACGAUAAGAGGGUCAAACCACGUGGUGAUUACUUUUUGUCUUUUGUCAAAAAUUGAAAAUUCGGUUUAAAAUUACGAUCCUUUCAUCGCAUUUUAUCUGUCUUUAUCAUAAUCAUCACCAUUGGGGUUUAUAUUUGCUCUGUUUGUUUAAAUUUUGGUAUCUUUCCGCAUUGCAUUGCAUGACCGUUGGUCACACCUUUAAGUGGGAGUGAGAAGCUACGCCUUCGUGAGGUUUUCACCUCCGCAUGGGAUAGUGAAUCGCUUUCGGGAUAUAUCCGUACCUAUGUCUUCGUGAGAUUUUCAUCUCCGCAUGGCCAUAGGGAAAUGUAUCCCCCUGAAUCGAACUUGGUCCGUAUGAGCCUAUAAUGGGUGAGGAUCGAGGAAUUUGCUGGUUCAGGUACCCUACUUUAGAACCAAACCACAUGUAAUGAGCCAUAGGAACUGACCUAGGUAGAGCUACUCCAAAUUUUUAGUGCUUACCUAAAUGAAUGUUGUUUUUAUUGUCGCUUAUUUUAAAUCUUAUUCUGUGUUUAAUGCUAAUUUACUUUGUGUGUGAUUGCAUGGCAUCUUCAUUCUAAAAGAGGUAUCGAUUUACGUUCAGUUUCUUGGUAGAAAGCUUAUAAUGGAAAAGGGGUUUGUUGAUAAAGUAGAGGAUAAUGUGGCUGUGCGAAUGUGGGCUGAAACGACACAACGGGAGAAAGGCGAUAGUCUUACCGAAGGGUACGUGUCAGAAUUGUGGGAUUUUACCCGUAUCAGUGUAAUCCAGAAUGACCUUCGAGAAAUGAAAGAAGUCUGGGAUCAAUGGGAUGUCGAGGCCAAGCAGCUGUUCUAUUGUAACUACGGUGACCUACCUUAUCUGCUUAGUGUCAAAGUGGACAAGUAUUUAUUCCGAGCCCUUGCUCAGUUUUGGAAUCCUGCCUACAGUUGUUUCACUUUUGGGAAGGUAGAUUUGACGCCUACUGUGGAGGAGUAUACGACCUUGCUUCGGUGCCCAAAGAUUCAAGUCGACAAGGCUUAUUCCAGAGCUGCUUGUGUCCCUCCGUUGUUAAAGAAAUUAAUGAACAUCACUGGAAUGAGCGAGCAGUGGGUCGCAGCCCGGAUCCAACAGAAGGGCGACAGUAAAUGUGUUCCUUGGAAAAGUUUGUGAGAUUUGGUACUGGUACAUCCUGACUUAAAGAAAAGGGUCGAUGUCUUCGCUUUAGGUAUCUAUGGACUAGUGGUUUUCCCCAAAGCUUUAGGACACAUAGACGAGGCUGUAUCUGAUUUGUUUGAUCGGCUUAGUAAAGGGGUUACACCGGUUCCGGCAAUACUCGCUGAAACUUUUAGAUCCUUGAAUGCGUGUCGAAAAGCAGGGGAGGGAAGGUUUAUUGGAUGCGCGCAGCUCUUAUUAGCAUGGUUCCAUAGCCACUUCUGGAAAGUCGAAAAGGUCUCUUAUCGGGUAUUCUCUGAUAACUACUCCCCUCUAGGAGAAUUGGUGGCCACGCCAAGACGGGAUGAUCUUUCAGAAGAAAAAUGGAUAGAGAUACUCCAGAAUCUCCACGAUGAAAAUAUUGAAUGGAGGGCUCCUUGGUUAAUUCCUGAUGAGAUAUUGUACCGAUGUGGAGAUUUUGACUGGGUUCCGCUGCUCGGGAUAUGGGGAACUAUCGGAUAUGCUCCUCUACUCGUAUCAAGACAGUAUAGAUCACGACAAUUCAUACCAGCAACGCAGGGGUUGGCCUAUUGUGAUUUUUCCUAUAGGGAGGACAACUACAAGAAGAAGGUUCGAAAAAUAUCUAGUGCCUGGAACCAGACUCGUCGAAUGAAGAUCUUAGCCGUAGGUCCGACAAUUACCCCCGAGUAUAGUCAGUGGCGUGAUCAAAGGAUCAACGACAACAUCCCGGCGUCAAAUUCAGAAACUGCUCGAUCUUUAGAGGAACACUUACAAGUUUUGCCUUCUGAGAUAGAAAUCAUCAAACAAGAAUUUGAAAAAAGGAGUUUAGAAUUGGGGAAGAAGAUAGAACAACUAGAGGAAGAAAAAAUGCAGUUAGGACUGGAUGUGGACAUUCAAAGAUUAGAGGCCGAUAAAUUGAGAAAAGGAAAGAACAAUGCAGAAGAAGAUUUGGACAGCCUGAAGACAGAUUACAAGAAGUUGCGUAGGUCGGUAAGAGCUGCUGGCUUGGGUAAAACGCCAGAACAAUGGCGACAAGAAAUUCAGGAGGAAAAGACGAAAGCUAAUCAAUGGGAAAAGAAAUUUCAGGAUACUCGGGCUCGGGAAGUCGCCUUGCGAAAGAGUCUACUAGUUUGCCAAGACGAGAAGACGGAGUUGAAGGUUCGGAUAACUGAACUAGAAAGAUCGCUUCACCAGUACUGUAAUCGUAAUGUUACGGUUGAAUUAAGGGCGAGCUUAGACAAGAUUGAAGAAUUAAAAGGACAAAUAGGAGGGCUAGAGAAUGCAUUGCAAAAUAGUGAAAUCCAGAUAGAGCUUCUGGAAGAAAAUAAUGAGCAGUGGCAAAGACAAUUCUGUCGGUCUCAAGAGCAGAUUAGAGAAAGAGAUUAUAUUAUGGGAGAGGCGGUGAAUCAAGUACGCGAAGUAGCUGAUCAUCUGCAAACUCUAGCGGUUCAGGCUGAUCUAUUAAGUUUGAAGUAUGAGUCAGAGUCAGACAGGGGCCGAGAAUUAGCUUGGCUUCUUAGAAAGGUUAAGGCUUUGAGUGUAAGGGCAAAGCCAUAUAUGUAGUCUAUUUUAUGUAAAGAAACUCUUUAUCUAGUAAAGUUUUCUAAUGAAGUUGAAUUAGAAUCAGUGCCUCUUUUUCUUUGCAUUCUUUUCAUGCAUUGCAUCACAUCAUAUGCAUUAAUGACCAUUAAAAACCUAAUCGAAUAAAAUCAUUUCAGUUAACCUGGAAAACCAACAAAGUUACGGCACCCGAGCUAAGACAAAAAUUAUGGACCAAAGGUUGGAGAAGCUAGAGCGACUUCAAAAAGAAAUGCAAGACCAGUUGCAGGCACAAAUGAAAGAGCAAAUAGAAAAGAUUCAGCGUGACAUGGUGCGAAAGAUGGAGGAGUCCCAAAACGAUCUGGUGGCUAAGAUGACGCAAUUAUUGAAGGGAAUAGAUAGGGGUAAAAGUCCUGUGAUUGUUAGUGAAGAAGAAAACAAUGGGGAACCACUUUAUCCUCCAGGUUUCACGCCUCCGCAUGCGCAAGUACAGACUGAGCUGCAUCCGCGGAGACCCUCUGUGUCGGUUAGGCCUCAGCAGUUCCAAGGCGAUGCUUCAAUCCCAAUGAAUUUUCAACCCGGAGCGGGCUUUAAUCCCGGUGAUAGCCCGAAUAAUAUUGCUGUCCCAGAUCUUGACGAGAUGGUUGAAAAGGACAAGGCGAAGGAGGAAUUUCCAAAACAAUUUGAGGAGAAAUGGAAAUGGAUAGAAGAGAAGUUUAGGGCAAUAGAAAGCAUCGAAAGCUAUGGAAUAGAUGCAAAAGAUCUGAGCUUGGUUCCGAACUUGGUGCUCCCUUACAAAUUUAAGAUGCCGGAAUUUGAGAAAUACAACAGGACUAGUUGUCCAGGAUCCCAUAUUACUAUGUUUUGUAGAAGAAUGACGGGGCAUAUUAAUAAUGAUCAAUUAUUAAUACAUUGUUUUCAGGAAAGUCUUACGGGAGCGGCGUCAAAGUGGUACAAUCAGCUGAGCCGAGCUAAAAUUGCUACUUGGAGGGAUUUAGCACAGGCUUUCCUGAGACAAUACAAUCAUGUCUCAGAAAUGAUGCCUGAUAGGAUAACUCUGCAAAAUUUAGAGAAGAAAUCGAACGAAAGCUUUAGACAAUAUGCGCAGAGGUGGCGAGAGGUGGCGGUUCAGGUGCAACCACCGCUUUUGGAAAAAGAGAUGACGACGCUUUUUAUUAAUACUUUGAAAGCCCUGUUCAUCACUCACAUGUUGGGAAGCGCUUCAAAAAAUUUCUCGGAUAUAAUCAUGAAUGGUGAAAUGAUUGAGCAUGCCAUUAAAAGUGGAAAAAUAGAUGGAGGAGAAAAUAAUAGGAGGGCACCCCCGAGGAAAAGAGAAAAUGAAGUGAAUAAUGUGAAUGCUUAUGGUAGGUCAAUUACCGUGAAUCAACCAAAGAAAGUGGUUGCUAAUCAACAAGGAUCAUCAAGACAAGAGUCGGGAGCUAGGCAAACUACUGAAAAGCCCCAAUUCACGCCAAUCCCGAUGUCAUACAAGGAGUUGUAUCAGACUUUAUUCGAUGCACAUGUUGUUGCUCCCCGUUACUUGAAUCCUCUACAACCCCCGUAUCCAAAAUGGUAUGAUAUGAACGCGCAAUGUGAUUAUCAUGCGGGAAUUUCUGGGCACUCGAUAGAAAAUUAUACUGCCUUCAAGAAGGUAGUAGAAGGACUUAUCAAUUUAGGUGUCGUCAAACUUGACGACUCACCUAACGCAAAGAAUCCGUUACCUAAUCACGCAGAUAAGGGGAUGAAUAUGGUUAGCGAAGGUACGGGAGAAGAAGUCAAGACUGACAUUGCUGAAGUAAAAACUCCAUUGAAACGGGUCUGGAAAGAAAUGGCGAAAAGAGGGUUGGUUAUUUCAGAUUCUGAGGAAGGGCAUGAGAUGGGAAAUUAUUGUGAAUUUCACCAUAAAACAGGGCAUGAAAUCCAAGAAUGUGAAGGAUUCAAGGCUUUGGUUCAAAGCAUGAUGGAUAACAAGGAGAUGAGGUUUUAUGAAGAUGCGAGAGAAAUGAGAAGCAUAUGCGCGACAGAGUUGGGAACAAAGGCUCCAAAAAUAAAUCAUCCUGUGGUCAUUAUCUCACGCCCUAGGGGUAAUGAGGUUAGGGCUCAGGUAACACCGAAAAUUGUAAUCCAGAAACCAUCAAAUUUCUCUUAUAGGGAUAAUAAAAUGGUGCCGUGGAAUUACGGGUGUAAUGUGACCAUUUUGGGAAAAGGAGCAGAAAGAAAUCAGGAAAUAGGUUCUUACACGCGCAAUGGAAAAAGAUAUGACGCUCAAGCAGAGUCGUCCAGGGAAGAGAAUUGGAAGAAAGAACAGAGAAAAGGGAAAGCAGUAGAAGUUGAGCCAUUGGUAAAUGAACCAAUAAAAGAAGAAGAGGCAAAGGAGUUUUUGAAGUUUUUGAAACACAGUGAAUACAGUGUUGUGGAGCAACUGCACAAAUAGCCAGCCCGCAUUUCUGUAUUAGCUUUACUCCUAAACUCAGAAGUACAUCGGAAUGCACUUUUAAAGGUGCUAAACAAAACAUAUGUGGCUGACGAUAUUUCGGUAAACAAGCUGGAUCGGUUGAUCAACAAUAUUGGUGCUGACAAUUUUAUCUUCUUCAAUGAUGAUGAAAUACCAUCCGGAGGAAGAGGUUCUACUAAAGCCCUGCAUGUUACUGUCCGAUGCAAAGGGUACACACUCCCGGGGGCCUUGGUUGAUAAUGGAUCUGCACUAAAUGUAUUGCCUUUGUCCACUCUUAGUCGAUUACCAAUAGACAGUUCGCACAUGAAAGCAUGCCAGAGCAUAGUAAGGGCAUUUGAUGGAACAAAAAAAGAGGUUAUGGGGAGAAUUGAGGUACCAUUAAGGAUUGGCCCAGUCACUUAUGAGGUGGAUUUCUUGGUAAUGGAUAUUAAACCCUCCUACAACUGUCUAUUGGGGAGACCGUGGAUACACUCAGCAGGGGCAGUACCUUCAUCAUUACAUCAGAAGGUGAAGUUGGUAUCGGAGGAUCGGUUGGUAACAAUAGAUGCAGAGGAGGAUAUUAUCGCAAUGAUGACUAGCGAUGCACCUUAUGUGGACAUCAACGAUGAGGCACUAGAAUGUUCUUUUCGGUCGUUAGAAUUUGUGAACGCGAUGUUUAUUGCGGAGGGAAAUAGAAUUCCAGUACCGAAAAUAUCCAGGACCAAUGAGAUGGGAUUGCAAUUGAUGGUAGGAAGAAGAGCCUUACCCGGGAAAGGAUUGGGAAAAUAUCUUCAGGGAAGGAUUGAGGCACCAAUGCCGAAGGAAAAGUUUGAUAGAUUUGGUUUAGGAUACAAGCCAGACAUGAAGCAGAAGAAGAAAGAAGUAGAGAAGAGACAAGAGAGAAGAAGGGCGCGUUUGAAUGGACAUGGAGCUAAGUGUGAGCCUUUAACCUUUCCCCACAUAUCUACAUCUUUUGUGUCGGGAGGAUUUAUUCAUUCUGAAUGUGGAGUGUCCGGUAGCGGCAUGGGAGGAAUGUUGGAAAACGUUUAUACUAACGCCGUAGAAGCAACAGAAAGGAGGGCUUUGUUGGAGAUCUGCCCUUAUGAGCCUGGAAGCGAGCUAAACAAUUGGACUGCUGAAGAAAUCCCUGUAGUCUUUAGGGCUUAUUCAGAGUAAUGCUCAAAACAUUCCUGUUGUUUGUUGGCCUAGAAACGAUAUGAAAUCUUUUCUGAAAUAGGCAUUGGGCCUAAAUAUCAUUAUUUUAAUAAAAUACGUGUCUACGUUCAUCUCGAUCAGUCAUUUUUUUCCUUUCAUAUUUUUCAUUUGGUUGAUUGUCUUACAAAUAAUUCUUUCAUUUGUAAUUCUUUUGCACAACAUAUUCAUAAAUUUAUAUUCUUGGUAUAUUCUUUGAUCUGCCCACAUAGGUCUUCAGAUAUCAAUGACAUGAGUGACGCUGCCUCAAACGCGGAGCCUAUUUUUGAGCAAGAAGUGUGUUCAGAGGGAUCCCACGACUUUGAAAAUGACGAAGAUUAUGAUGCAUCUCCGGACUUGUUAAGAAUGAUGGAACAAGAGGAUAAGCAUAUCCUACCUCAUAGGGAAUCGUUAGAAAUAGUGAGCCUAGAGGAUGGAAAGGAGGUGAAAAUUGGAACUGAAAUCACCGCAAAGACAAGGCAAGACCUCAUCAAUUUACUCCGAGAGUUCAAGGAUGUUUUCGCGUGGUCGUACCAAGAUAUGCCUGGGCUAAGUACUAACAUUGUGGUGCAUCGUCUGCCCAUAAAUGAGGAUUGUAAACCCGUUCAACAGAAGCUUAGGAGAAUGAGACCUGACAUUGUGUUGAAAAUAAGAGAAGAAGUCAAAAGACAAUUCGACGCUGGUUUCUUACAAGAGGUCAAGUAUUCGGAUUGGGUAGCCAACAUCGUCCCUGUUCCCAAAAAAGAUGGAAAGGUACGAAUGUGUGUGGAUUAUAGGGAUUUAAACAAGGCUAGUCCAAAGGACAACUUUCCACUGCCUCAUAUUGAUACUUUGGUAGAUAACACGGCGGGCUAUUCAUUGUUUUCUUUCAUGGACGGUUUUUCUGGAUACAAUCAAAUAAAGAUGCAUCCUGGAGACAUGAGGAAAACCACAUUCAUUACCUUAUGGGGAACAUUCUGUUACAAGGUAAUGCCCUUCGGAUUGAAGAAUGCGGGAGCAACAUAUCAAAGAGCUAUGGUGACUUUGUUUCACGACAUGAUGCACAAAGAGAUCGAAGUCUAUGUUGACGAUAUGAUCGCGAAGUCUAGAACGGAAGAAGAGCAUGUUCAGGUCUUGAAAAAGUUAUUUUUGAGAUUAAAGAAAUUUCAGCUCAAGCUUAACCCGGCCAAAUGCACGUUUGGAGCCAGAUCAGGGAAGUUAUUAGGCUUCAUAGUUAGCAAAAAGGGGAUCGAGGUUGACCCAGACAAAGUAAAGGCAAUACGAGAUUUACCUCCCCCGCGCACUCAGAAGGAGGUUCGAGGUUUCCUAGGGAGGCUGAAUUACAUUGCUCGGUUCGUCUCACAACUGACAGAGAAAUGUGAUCCAGUAUUCCGGCUCUUAAAGAAACAUAAUCCGGGUGAAUGGGAUGAAGAGUGUCAGAGGGCUUUCGAUAAGAUAAAGCAGUACUUGGCUAAUACCCCAGUCUUAUCACCUCCAAGUCCAGAUAGGCCAUUGAUAUUGUAUCUAACAGUGUUGGAGAAUUCCAUGGGAUGCGUAUUGGGCCAACAUGAUGAGACAGGAAAGAAAGAAAGGGCAAUAUACUACCUCAGUAAAAAAUUUACCGAUUGCGAAAUGAGGUACUCAUCAAUUGAGAAAUUGUGUUGCGCUCUAAUCUGGGCAACCCGAAGACUGAGGCAGUAUAUGUUGUAUCACACGACUUGGCUGAUUUCAAAGUUAGAUCCUUUAAAGUAUAUGAUGGAAUCGACUGCUUUGAACGGGAGAAUGGCUAGAUGGCAGAUCUUGCUUUCAGAAUUUGAUAUAGUAUAUGUCAGUCAGAAGGCCAUAAAGGGAAGUGCAAUAGCCGAUUUCCUAGCUAGUAGAGCCUUGGAGGACUAUGAAUCUUUGAAUUUCGAUUUUCCAAACGAGGACUUGAUGUAUGUGGCGAAUACUGAAGAAAAUCCUCAAAUGGAUCACGUAUGGAAGUUAAAUUUUGAUGGAGCUUCAAAUGCUACGGGUAAUGGAGUUGGGGCAGUUUUGGUAUCCCCAAGUGGAGAUCAUUAUCCUGUUGCUAGCAAGUUGGACUUCGAUUGUACAAAUAACAUGGCAGAAUAUGAAGCAUGUAUUAUGGGCAUUCGUGCAGCCAUUGAACGGAACAUCAAAGUACUGAGAGUAUACGGGGAUUCAGCGUUGGUGAUAUACCAACUCAAAGGGGAGUGGGAGACUAGGGAUCCUAAGCUAAUCGGUUAUAGAAAAUUAGUUCUUGAAUUGGCUGAGGAGUUUGACGAUAUCACUUUCUAUUACCUCCCACGGGAGGAAAACCAAAUGGCCGAUGCUUUAGCUACUCUAGCUUCGAUGAUUCAGGUGAAUAGACUUGAGGCAAUGAGGCCUGUUCAGAUGAGUAUCUCUGAGACCCCGGCUAAUUGCUGCAAUAUUGAGGAGGAGGGAAAAGAUGAUUGUCCUUGGUAUCAGAGUAUCCUACAAUAUGUGAAGAAUCGGGAAUACCCUGAUCAAGCGACAGAGAAUGACAAAAGAACUCUGAGAAAGAUAGCCAUUGAAUAUGUCUUAGAUGGAGAAGUGUUAUAUAAAAGAAGGAAGGAUCAAGUACUGUUAAGGUGUGUGGAUGCUGUGGAAGCCAAGAAAAUUUUGGAAGAAGUCCAUGAGGGUAUUUGUGGGACGCACGCCAGUGGUUUCACGAUGGCCAGACAGAUCAUGAGAUUUGGGUACUAUUGGCCCACCAUGGAAGGAGAUUGUAUUGAUUAUGCCAGGAAGUGCCACAAAUGCCAAAUUUACGGAGACAAAAUACACGUGCCCCCUUCACCUCUUCACGUCAUGACCUCUCCUUGGCCGUUUUCCAUGUGGGGUAUGGAUGUUAUUGGGCCAAUAUCACCAAAGGCUUCUAAUGGGCAUCGCUUCAUCUUCGUAGUAAUUGAUUACUUUACUAAGUGGGUGGAGGCUGCUUCAUAUGCAAAUGUCACGAAAGCAGUAGUCAGCAAAUUCUUGAAGAAGGAGAUCAUUUGUCGAUAUGGAAUGCCUGAGAGGAUCAUAUCCGACAAUGCGAUGAACUUGAAUAAUAGCACAAUAGCUGAAGUUUGUAGCAAAUUUAAAAUUAAGCAUCAUAACUCAUCGCCGUAUCGUCCCAAAAUGAAUGGUGCAGUGGAGGCGACCAAUAAGAACAUUAAAAGGAUUGUGGGGAAAAUGACUGAAACCUACAAGGAUUGGCAUGAGAAAUUAUCAUUUGCUCUCCUUGCCUAUCGAACAUCUGUUAGAACUUCUACUGGGGCAACGCCUUUUUCUCUGGUUUAUGGAAUGGAGGCAAUAUUACCCAUUGAAGUUGAAAUCCCUUCUCUACGGGUGUUAUCUGAGCUACAGUUGGAUGAAGCCGAUUGGAUCCAAUCUCGGUACGAUCAGUUGAACCUAAUAGAAGAAAAGAGGCUAAAAGCUAUUCACCAUGGGCAAAUGUACCAGAAACGAAUGAUGCGAGCCUAUAAUAAAAAGGUUCGCCCCUGAGAAUUUCGUGAAGGGGACUUGGUACUAAAAAAGAUUCUUCCUAUGCAAAAAGAUUUUAGAGGAAAAUGGAUGCCAAAUUGGGAAGGCCCUUAUGUUGUAAAGAAGGCCUUUUCUGGUGGAGCUUUGAUCCUAUGCGAGAUGGAUGGCAAAAGUUUACCAAAUCCUGUAAACGCAGACUCCGUCAAGAAAUACUUCACUUGAAAGAAAGGGGAACCAAAGUGAAAACCCGUGAAGGGCGCUUUGCUUCCUAAAAAAAAAAACUUUGGAGAGGCUAAGGUGAAAACCCGUAAAGGGCACUUUGAGACCAAAGAGGGCUUGAAUCGAAAACCCGGAAAAGGCGACUCAAGUACUGGGCAGGAUUGGAACAUCAGGAUUUGAGCGGAUCAAAUUUUGAUCGGGGGCAUAUGAUUAUCUUGCUUUACUUGAACCAAUAAGAAAGGAUAUGCAACGUCUUGGAUCAUGGACAGAGUAUUGCAGAUCUCCUGAACACAUGUCAAACUCAGAAGGGUCUUCGAAAAGUUUGUACAGAGAAACUCAAGCUGCGAUAACUAGGGCACCUAGUUCUUAUGUGUAUUCUUGAAAAUACAUUCUUUUAUUUUCUUUCUUUCUUCCUUUCUUUUUGUGAAAACGCACAUUCUCAAUCCACUUCUUUGUUAACCUUCUUUCGCCAUCUUUGAUGUUUUAUUCGAGUUAUGAUCGGAACUAGCUUUAUUCUUAUCCAGUGUUGUGAUCUUUUUGCAAAUAUGUUGCAUAGGAAUAAUGAUUAACAAACUAAUAAAACUUUCAGGAAAGAAGUUUUGCACAUUACUCUGGAAAAUUUCUAAAUAAUAUAGGGACCUGAAACAUGACUAUUGUUUAGAAAAUACCAAGUUUAAAGGGUGAAAUAUCUAAGAAGGAAGAGUCUAAGUUAAAGACUAUCCUUUCAGAUUUUGUUGUCUAAACAUUGAUUGAACAAAAUGACAAGCUGUCGUGUUACAAAGCUUAAAUGAACAAGCAAGCAAUGAUCAUCAGGCAAUAGGAAGAGGUUACCUCGGAGAAGAGAGCCUUCACUUGCGCAUAAGACUUUGGUACGACACCUUGAGAAUGGUGUAGGAAACCAGAACGGUUCAGAUCCUAUAUCCCCGAAUUGUGAUAAAAGAGGACAGAGGAAAAGCCACAUAUUUCUACCCUUAGAUUACUGUGAGAGAAUGAUGGUACAAAUUUUGGCGUCCCAGUGGAUAUAACUUUGAGGUUUACAAUGGGGACAGUCUGGCUAAAUGUUUCUUCAGAAAAGUCAGUCAAGCGAGAAGGCGUUGAAGCACGUCAGUCACAAAGCCUUAGUAAACUUCGAGUAAUGACAACCUAAGCGAGAUCAUUCUCGGAAAAAUAAAAUUCUGCAUUCAUGCAAACACCAUUCACAUAUGUCUAGUUAGGAGCAUUUGUUUCAUUUUGAUCAUGUCAUCCUAAUCAUUAGGCAUAAUUAGGUUUAUUAUACAGGUCUUAUCUCCCUGAGAUUACAGUGGAGUAGACCGAAAAAUUUCAGAUCUUAUCUCCCUGAGGUUACAGUGGAGCAGAUUGAAGCCAGAGAUCUUAUCUCUCUGAAAUUACAGCGGAGUAGAUUGAAGCUAGUAAUCCUAUCUCUCUGAAGUUACAGUGGAGCGGAUUAAAAUAAAGGAUCUUAUCUCUCUGAAGUUACAGUAGAGUAGAUCACAUCAGAUUGAAGCCAGAGAUCUUAUCUCCCUGAGAUUACAGUGGAACAGACCGAAAAAUUUCAGAUCUUAUCUCCCUGAGGUUACAGUGGAGCAGAUUGAAGCCAGAGAUCUUAUCUCUCUGAAAUUACAGCGGAGUAGAUUGAAGCUAGUAAUCCUAUCUCUCUGAAGUUACAGUGGAGCGUAUUAAAAUAAAGGAUCUUAUCUCUCUGAAGUUACAGUAGAGUAGAUCACAUCAGAUUGAAGCCAGAGAUCUUUUCUUAAUUCCCGAGAUCGUUUAAAAACUUGAGUUUGAAAAGAUUCGUGUAUUUAGAUUUAUUAUGAAAAUCGAAACCCAGUAAGUUAGAGUACGAUCCUUUCGAAUCUAAACACGAAAUAUUUUUAAAACAAAUUUUGUUAUAUCGAGUAAAAUAAAACACGAAAAUCGUAGUAAAAAAUGUGAAAGCAAAUUACAUUGUUGUUAUACGUGGUAAAAUCAUAAUACACAUAAAAAUAAAAAAUAAUACGAGCAAUAGCAACAAUAUAAAAUAAAUAGAAGUCAUACCUACAAUCAUAUAAAAUAACAAUAUAUAUAAACAAAUAAAUUAAAACAUUCAUAAUGACGAAAAUGAAAUAAAUAAGUAACAAAUACCAUUAAAUAUAAAAAGAUAUAUAUAGACAUAAACUAAAAUAUGUAUAUAUAUAAAUUAACAAAAUGUAUAAAGUAUGUUUUAAUAUAUAAAAGAAACGAUAAAUGUGUAUAUAUAAAAAUAUGUACAUAUAUAUGGGUGUAUAAAACUAUGGAAUAUGAAAAUAAUAAAAUACAUAUAAAAGUAAGUACAUAUAUAUGUUAAAAAAUAAAAGAAAGUAUGUAUGUACAAAUUAAAGUUUAAAAAUAAUGAAAAUAUACGUAUGUAUACGAAUAAACACGUUAAUUUUGAUACAUGUUAAAAAAAUAUAUUGAAAAUGUAUAUAUAUAUAUUUAUGUAAAUUAAGAUAUACAAAAAUAUGUAUGUACGUGCAUAUAAAAUAUAUAUACUUAUAAAAUAAAAGGAUGUGUAUGUAUAUAAAUUAAUAGUAAUAUGUGUGUAUAUACGGAUUUAUAAAAAAAGUAUAUUUUAAACUAUAAAGAUUAUAUAUAAAUAUGUAUAUAUUUAGGAAAAUGAAAAUAUAUAUAUAUAGAUAUAUAGAUAUGUACAUAAGUUGUAAAAUAUAUAAACUAUAUAAGUAUAUAUGUUAUAAAAACAAUGUAUGUAUAUCACAAAAAUAUAUGCAUGUAUAUGUAUAUAUGUGCCGAAAAUUAAAUAAAAUAAAUAUAAACAAAUAGGUAAUAAUAAUAAUAAUAAUAAUAAUAAUAAUAGGACUAAAUCAAAACGGAAACGAAAUCUCAGGGCUGAAAUCAAAAAUGAAAUAGAGUAAAGGAUUAAAAUGUGAGGCGCGCGAAAAGGGAAGGACUGAAAAGGGAAAUAUUCCCUAGUCCUAGAGUGCAACGUUUCAGCGCAAAGGACCAUACAUGGUCAAAGGACCUGAUUGAAACAGAAACAAAACUCGCGGCCCAAAUCAAAAAAAAAUAAAAGGUUUGAUUGCAUUUCAACGCAAGAUGGAGGGACUAAAUGCAUAAAUUACCCAUUAAGGACAAGCAUGUGCAAGAUUCCCCACUAAUGCACCGUUCAUGAUUGAAAAAAAAGACAAAAAAUGUUUUAUAUUUUUAUUCUUUCACUUUUUGAAUUUGCUAGAGGAAAAAGGCUUUGCUUUUUUUUUAAACCACCAUUUUUUUUUAAACACCCAACACUUGGGUUUCUUAACACCUUGAGUGCCACCACGCCACCAAGACCGACGGCCGACGAUGGAAGAAAAACCCCGGCGGCACGGUCACGGCCAACUCCGGUGAGUUUCUCCUCUCCUUAUUUCUUUUGUUUUUAUUUUCGUAAGUAGAAAGAAAUAAAAAGAAAUCAAACUAGAUGUAAAAACACACAAAAAUAAAGAAACGAAAAUUACUUCUCCGAUUCAAAGUUUAUGUUUUUAUUGUUCUUGUGUCCGUAAAAAGAGAGGAAGAGCCCCCUUUGCCGGCCAUCGACCACCGCACCGGUCGCCGGACGCCGGCGACGACGCCGCCGUUCGCGGUGGCCGGAAAACCAAAAAAAGCUCCCUUUUUCUCCUUUUUGCGAAUAGGGUCCAGAUCUGGGGUUAGAAAAGCCGAAAUCCCGGCGAAAAGGGCCAAAAUCGAAAGAGACCUUUCGGUUCUUCCUCUUUCCACCGCCGCCGGAAACAGGUAAACUCCUUUUUACUUUUAUUUUUUUUAUCUUAUAUAUAUGUGUGUUGAUAAUAAAAAAGAGAAAGAAAUACUAUAGAAAAACCGAAAUAGAACGAAAAUAAAGAAAACGAAAAAAACAAGGUGAAUCACCUUCUAAAGCCUUUUUUUUAUUUCUUUCAAUUUUUUCAAAAGCCGAAUCUUCUCUUUUUUGUUACAAAAGUCCCGUUCUCUUUUUUUUUGUUUCUCUUCUUUUUUUUUCCCUUUGGUCCGAUUUUGCUUGUGGCUUUUAUAGCCAAAAAUACAAUAUUCUGUUAAUGUUUAUUGCUCCAUUUUUUGUCAUUUUCCUUUGCUUGUUUGCAGGUGCGGCAAAAGGCAUGGUGGUGGCAGACAGCAUGGGAGAGUGGGAGUGGUGCUGGUGGCAGACAACAUGGGAGAAUGGGAAGAGGCAAGUGGGAGUCUAGGGUUUUGGGAUUGGGCUUGGAUGUUGGGCUAGGUUGAUUUUAGGUUUUGGGUUUUAUUAUUUAGGUUAUUUUGUUGGUAUGGGCCCGGGCAAAAAUGGACUUUUACAUAUAUUAUUCUACUCAUUUACGGCUACUAAUCCAUCAUUUCCAUUGUUGAAUUUGGAAAAUGCCAUUGCGAAAAUUUGGGUUAAGAAUGCUUAAUUGAAAGAAGAUAAAACCCAUCAAAUUAAUUAAUCCCAUCAAUCAAAAUCUUUUGAGAUUCCAAAAACGAAAAAUGCCAUUCCAAUCCAAUCUUCUCCAUGUUUAUUACCUAGAUUUGACCUUCCCUGAGACUAAUAUAUACAUACAAUACAAUCAACAACUAUAUAAUAAUUUUAUUAAAAAAACCUAUGUAAUUAAUUAAUUAAUCACAAGUUUUCGCAAUGUUAGAUCCGAAUAGUAAGAUUUUGAAUGUUUAAAUUCGAAUUUUAUUAUAUGUAUGUACGAAUUUUUAAUUUAAAUUUUAUUAUGAACUAAAUUUCAUCAUGUGUGAAAUAUAUAUAUGGAUAAUUUAAUUAUUAUUAAACUGUUAAUUGAAUCUUAACUCGAGAGAUUUCAUUAUAAUUAUAGCAAUAAAAGAAUAAAAGAAUUAUGAGUUCAAACUUAUUUAAAUGUAUAUUUUCCUCCUAUUUAAAAAUUAAGGUUACCAAGUAUAAUAAUUUUUUCAAAUAUCCAUUUUAAGAAAAUCAAUAGCAAACAAUAGUUAGAAAGUCCAAUUAUUGUGAGAUAACAUCAAUUUUCUUCAUUAAUUGGAGUCAUUUAAAACAAAAGGGUUAAUUGCCCCAAACAUCUUUCAAUUAUGACACUUAUUCUAAAUUGACUCUUAGAUUUCAAAUCAUUCUAAUUAUAUUCUUAAACUGUUGAUGUUAGAUCGAUUAGGUUCUUUUGUUAUGAAAAUCAUUAAUUUAACUGUUAAAUGAUACCUUAAAACUUAAGAAAAAAAAUAUUGUGAAAAUGGAUGCUUUGAAAAUCUUAGUUUAGAGGUUUUCAAAACUUUCACAGAAGCUUUACCAUUCACUAUUUCUUUUCCCCACUUUUACUUUUAAAUUUUAUGCAACAAGGUUCUAGUUUUCUUUGAAUUAUUCAUUUUAACUUUAGCUAUAUAAGAUUUGAAGUGUUAUUUAACAAUUAGAUUAAUGCUUUUAAUAACGAAAGGACUUAAUUAAUAUAAUAUUGAUAGUUUAAGGAUGUAAUUAAAAUAUUUUAAAAUUUAAAGAUCAAUUAAAGUGAAAGUCAUAGUUUAAAGAUGCCUGGUGCAAUUAACUCAGAACAAAAAGAUGAAUGUUAUGAAGGUAAUGGGUUGAGUUGGUUUAGGGUCAAGUUAAUUCGGCUUAGGUUAAAUUGGAUUUUAAUUUGGAUUGUCUCAAAUUUAAGUCACUCAAGAUUUUCAGUCAACUUUUUUCGGGUUUUUUUAUUUGUUUUGGUCAUUUCGGUUUUAAGUAAUUUCUAGUUCUAAUUAUAUGUUGUUUUGAAUUGAAAAUUUCGAAUUAUUAAUUUCUUAUGAUAAAAUCAAAUUAGUUUUGGAAAUGAAUUAAUUAAGUUUAGAUUUCAAAUCCGAAUCAAAAUUAACUAAAUUAGCUUCACUCUUUUAAUUUUAGGUAUGUGGCAAUUCGAUUAAUGAUCCGAUUAAUUAGAGUCUACGAGAUAUUGGUUAAGGAUUUAACAUAAGAUUUAUAUUUGAUGUCUCCAUAAUGUAUAAUUUUAUGUAUUAUCAAUGAAUUAGAUGAUGGCGCAUUAUCAAAAAAUUAAAUUAAAUUCACUUAAUUUUAUUUUUAAUUUCUUUCUUACCAUUAAUUUUAUUAAUAUAACAUUUUAUAUUAUUUUAAAUAAUAUCAACUUAACAAUUUUGACGAUACGUGAAAAUUAAUUAUAUACUUAAUUAUCUUGUUCAGUAUUUUUUUUUCAAAAAAUUUAUAUAAAAUAAAAAUAUAAUGUCAUUAUCCAAUAUAUUUAAAAAAUCAUUUGUGCAGCAAACAACAAAAACGACAAUACAGCAAAAUAGGUUACAAUACAAACUAAAAAUAAAGAUAAAACAAAGCAUUUGCAUGCGAUUUAGAAGUUGCAUGACAUGUGCCAUGUGUGAUGUGUGAAUACCCAACUACAAAAAAAUAGACAGUUUUGUGGUACUAUUUACAGAACAAAAUUAUUUUUAAUGUAAAUUCUUAUUUGACUGCAUUUAAAAAAAAUCAAAAUUUGUCGAUUGAGUCUUUAGCUCGAUUGACAUAGGCAUUGUAGCUAAUAUAGUAGGACGUGGAUUCGAGUAUACUGAAGCGCAUUAUCCUCCUAUUUACGGGUUGAGGAGGAACUAUAGAUAGUUCUAGGCAUUGUGUUAAAAAAUAGCCAGAUAUUAUCAGAACCUCUAAAGAGAUUGUUCAAGAAAAAAAUCAAAAUUUUUUUUUAGACAGAAAUGCUAACUAAAAUAUUAAUAUUUUAAUGAUGUUAGCGUAGCAGUCCACGUGUAUUUUAUGCUGGUAAGACACUAUUUACCUUAUAUUUAUGUCAACAAAUAAUUUAAAAAUCAUAAAAAAAAUAUUAUGAAGUAUAUGUGGAACACAUGUUGCCAUGUUUAAAUAUUUAAAGUUCUUAUCAGCAUUUCCGUUAAAAAUAAUAAUUUGAUUCUUUUUGAAAAGUUCACUGUCAAAAUAAAAUAUGGGUUAAAUUGAUAAAAAAUAUAAACGUUGAAGACCAAAUUUUACAUUAUACCUAACAUAACCCUUUAAAUAAAAGCCAUUAAUAUUUCACUUUAGUUUUCGAUAAACCCCAAAAAUUCCAAUUGGGUCUCAUCUCAAUAUUUUCACACUGCUGCUUCCAAAAAUUCCUUAAAACCAUUGGCACAUUUCCCUGGAUAUUUGACAGGGGAGCUUGAAUUUUUUUAUAUAGAGCUUUUAACAUUUAAAACAGCUGUUUCAUAAACUGAUAAAACAGAAGGGAAAAAAAAAAGCAGCAGCAGAGCAUUUGCAGACCGCAGUACAGCAUGAUGAAAGAAAAAUAGCUUUUUUUAUAAAACAAAAUACCUGCCCACCAAUCCUACUGUACAAAACAAAACAAAAAAGCAUCAAACAUUUAAACACCUUAAAGUUAGAGCAAAAGAACAGAAAGUAGUAAUAAAACUACAACCCAACCUUAAAUGCUAAGAAGAUCAGGUGGUGUUGAUUUAGGUGCUGGGGGCUGUUGUUGCUCGUCUUUUGGGUCCUUUGUGAUUGUUGUUGUAGGUGAGUCUAGAGUUGUGUCUGGUGAUGGUGAUGUUGGGGGCUCAUUGAUUGUGGUGUCUCCCUGUUUCGAGUUUGGUGGUUUUGGGAGUUCGGUUA